GCUGGGGCAGGUGGUGACGCUGGGCCUCAUGCCGUUCUUCCACAUCUACGGCAUCACCGGCAUCUGCUGCGCGACUCUGCGGCACAAGGGCACGGUGGUGGUGAUGGACCGGUUCGACCUGAGGACGUUCCUGGGCGCGCUGGUUGCGCACCGGGUGAUGUUCGCGCCCGUGGUGCCGCCGGUGAUGCUGGCCAUGGUCAAGAACCCCAUCGCCGACGAGUUCGACCUCUCCGGGCUGGCCCUCAAGUCCGUGAUGACCGCCGCGGCGCCGCUGGCGCCGGACCUCCUGGCGGCCUUCCAGAGGAAGUUCCCCGGCGUGCAGGUGGAGGAGGCGUACGGGCUGACGGAGCACAGCUGCAUCACGCUGACGCACGCCGGCGACGACCCAGAGAAGGGGCACAUCGCGAAGAAGAAUUCGGUGGGGUUCAUCCUGCCCAACCUGGAGGUGAAGUUCGUGGACCCCGACACCGGGCGGUCCCUGGCAAAGAACACGCCGGGGGAGCUGUGCGUCCGGAGCCAGUGCGUGAUGCAGGGCUACUACAGGAAGAAAGAGGAGACGGAGCGCACCAUCGACGCCAACGGCUGGCUGCACACAGGGGACAUCGGCUACAUCGACGACGACGGCGAUGUCUUCAUCGUCGACCGGAUCAAGGAGCUCAUCAAGUACAAGGGGUUUCAGGUUGCUCCUGCGGAGCUUGAGGCCAUACUCCUGUCCCAUCCUUCAGUCGAAGAUGCAGCCGUCUUCGGGUGAGUAGACAUGGAUCUCUGCUUCGGAAACAGCACGCAUGCCAUUGAGCUCGUGUGCUAUGUGUUGCAGACUGCCGGACGAGGAGGCUGGUGAGAUCCCGGUGUCGUGCGUGGUGCGGCGGAGUGGCGCGGCGGAGAGCGAGGCGGACAUCAUGGCGUACGUGGCGGCGCGCGUGGCCUCGUACAAGAAGCUCCGGAUGCUGCACCUCGUGGACGCCAUCCCCAAGUCGGUUUCCGGCAAGAUCCUGCGGAGGCAACUCAGGGACGAGUUCAUCAACAUGAUCAAACCCGCAGCCGCUUAACAUAAGGAUUUGCGGCUUCUUUCUAACCUACAUGCAUGCACAACAACUACAGUAUAUCUUUGUUACUUCAAAAUUGGGAGUGUCCACUUAUAUCUCAACACUUGAUUAUAUACGGAUAUGCUUGUUGGCACUUUGGCAAUGGACUGCUUUCUUUUCAUCAGUUGCCCGCAAUCUCUUUAGUUUUUACCGGCUGUUUGAAAUAACAACAAUAAUAGGUUCAUCAUGAAGGCAAGUAAAUUUUCAAGAUAAAAAAAGUAUCAUAAUUAUCCCGUCAAUCACGAUCAGUAUAAUAAAUACUAGUGGGCAUAACAAAAUCAAUAUCAAUAGGUCUACGAACAUAGCGUCGUCAUAAAAAGCAAUAUUUUCAUUAAGCGUGUCAUCUUCAUUACUUGAACAAUAAAGAUUAUAAUGUUUAUCCAAAUCAUAUUUUUCUAUAACUUCUUCAUUAGUAGGGGGACUAAAAUAUCAUGUUCAUCUCCCCUAAUAAUAAAGCGCGCAACGCUUCUGUCGUCCGUCGUCGGUCAUUUUACAGAAAGCCCUCGCAGUUUCAGUUAAUUAACCCGCAGUUCAACUUUAAGUUAAACGAACCGUUUUCUAUCAUUUUGCAGAAAAGUCCUCACAGUUUUAGAUAAUCAACCCGCGGUUCAUCUUUUAGUCAGAGCCGAAUCGUUUUUUUGCAUUUUACAGAAAACUCCCUGAUGUUUCAGGUAAUCAACCCGUCGUCCCUAUUUAAAUCAGCCGAAACGUUUUUUUGUUUUAACAAACAAACCCUGACUUUUCAGUUAAUCAAUUCAUAUUUUAUCUAAAACAAAAUUAUCCAUACCUUUUAAACCGUAACUCCGAUUUCAACAUGUUAUAUAUGAAAUUUGAUUGAAAAAUGUGUAGAAUCUAAAUAGGAUGUUAUUUUUAGCUGUUAAAUACUUCUUAAAUAUUAUGUUUGGUGCAAACUUAAUCUGUAGUGCACGAUCUUUUUUCUCUCUCUUUCCGACGACCAUACGAAUUGCAAUAAAUAUCCAUUAAAUUAAAACCAAAUUGAGAGGAAAGAAAACAUUGUUAACCACACAUGCACACCUUUGGAAAAUCUCGUGGGGAGAAACAACAUAUUUCUCAUCUUAUUCCGAGUGAUUGUACAUUCAAACGCGUUUUCGUUGUGUGAGCACUGAGGCCAUCGUCGACAACACAAAUGUGAUGCCAUGUGAAAAUACAUUACAUUCAAAGCGUGUGUUAUUUUCUCUUCCGUUGCAACGCACGGGCUUUUUUGCUAGUCAAACUCAUAUGUCCCAAGCUUAUAGCUUUGCAUAUCAUUAGCACAAUCAAUAAUCAUAAAAUUCAUUCAAAUACCAUUGCAAACAUGCUUUUCAUUAAAGGGACUUUCAUUAAUCAUUUUAUGAAAUUAUUUUUUAACACUUCAUGACAAUUUUUAAAUUCAGGAUUUUCAAAAAAGUUCAUAAAGAUAAAGAAGCGCACUCAACUCCAUUAUUUUUCAAAGAACUUAUUCCAAUAGGAUUUUCUUCAUCACUAGUUAUUGAUUUAUCGUAAUUACGAUUUUUUUAAAGAUUGCCAAGUGAAUGAGGAUCCAUAAUUUCUUUUUGUUUUAUGUUUGGUGUGUCAACAAUAAAGAUAGCAUAACUAGGCAAGAAAAUAAUUAAAGAAUGAAAGGAUUUCUAUGAAGGCACCUGAUUUGGUAGAUGAAGAAUCGUCGUCAACGACACUAGAAAUUCUUCUGCUACUCCCGUAGGAGUUGUUGGAUUUCUCUGAAGAGGACACGUGAUGUAGCAUAACGGCAAAAAGUAUCUCGCUAAGUUAAUAAUCAAGGUUUAAUCGAACCAUUAGGAGUCUCCAAGCUAACAAGAUAAGCAACACCUACACACAAACAAAAUAAAUGUUAAGGCAUGAUAAAAGAAAAUGUUUGAAAACUCACAAAAAAGUAGCAUUCAUAACUAUGAUCAUUCAUGGCAUAAUCUUGUAUACUACUAUCACUCGAGCUUGAAACUUGUAAAAAUGAAGUAUGUCUACCAAAGGGGGUGAAUGGGAGUUGUAAAACAUCUUUCAGAAACUUUAAAGCUCUCGGAACCCAGCAGCGGAGCGACCGAAAAGAUAGUACACUGAGCGAAUAGGAAAAAAUGAAUGAGAACUAAACCAUGCACUGAAAGGAAGCACAUGACUGAAAUAUGAUAUGCAUCAUAGCAUGGAAGUAAACUUAGAUAAGUGAAAGGUAAUCAAUCGAGACUCAACAAGUGUUAUUUCUCUUGAAGAUGAAAUAGACUCCCCCGAGAUGUAUGCAGGGAUAUAAAUUUGAGAAUCAUUUUCGUGCACAUGUUUGGAGUAUAUAUAGGAGGUAAAUUUCGUUCCUUCAAGAAUAAUUGAUUCACACUGACGAAUAAUAUGCAAAGAUAGAACAAUGCAAUCAUUUGUAACUUUUGAUAAUAUUUUCACACGCAAAACAGAUACUUCGAGAGAUAUGGUGCAUCUGGAGGGGUUAUUAAUAUUACAACACAGAAUUUUAGUGAGAGUUUUACAACUUAGCAAAUGAAACACGAAUGAAAGAAAUUGCAAACUAGAGAGAAAAACACAACCAAAUAAACACCAAAAGGAAAAUCUACCAGAACUCGGUGCAAUUCUCCCCUUUUUGUCAACAAGUGGAAAAAAGGUGACGAAUAACAGGAGGCGGGAGGCUUGAAAUGAGGAUCACUUUGAAGCAUCGCCAGAUGAACUGUCAGAAGAUUCUUCUUCUCCGGACGUGAAUGGAGGAACGAUAAUUGCUUUGUCUGUCGCAGGAGUUUUUCUGUCUGGAGAUAAAGCAUGAGGCUGAGAAGGCGAUCCUGGCAGAUUCGGAUCAGCUAGUGGAGUGACUCGGCUCAGAGUAUUGCCUUCGGUUGGUUUAACAGUCGGUGAGGUGGCCCCGGAUUCAUCUAGCAGCUUUCAAUGCUUGAGGUGAAGUAAAUAAGUUGUAGGUGCAUGAGCCGACAAAGGUGGAGUAUUCCGCUCUUGAAAAUCAUCAACUUCAAACCCCUUGUGAAUGUAAUCAUAAAGCUCUUUGAGAUUUACAUUUGAGAGGUGUUUUUUGGUGGAAAUCUUUCGAAGCAACUUCCAGAGGCGCUUCUUGUUCUCAUCAGGAUAAGAUGGAUCAACAGAGUGUGAUUAUGAAUCGCGUACUGUUCGGAGGCUAGAUGCUCUUUCUCUUGUGUGUCUUCGGAAAUGUUCUGUAGAAGAAGUUGUUGCAUGCACAUGCUGACUUCAAGCUGCGUUGGAGUUUGAGGUGCAAACAUCCAGUCACGAUGAGGAAGCUUUGGUCCAUCAAAGUGCUUGUGAUAAUCUUGAGGGCUUGAUGUUGUCGAUUUGCCCGAAGUGAAAUCUUGCAAAACUUGUAGUGUAUCACAAACUUGAGGAAUGCAAUUUUUGUGACUUGCCUUCGCCAUAUAGACCGUGCCCAUAACAUGAUCAAUAAAUUUUUGAAUCCAGGGUGUGAGGACAUUGAAGAAAAACGGUUACUGGGCAGAAUCCUUAAGGAUGCGAGAAAACAUAUUUUCUGUGUCGAAUAUGUAUCGCUCAAAGAUGACAUAGAUAGCAUUCCGAGGAACAUCUGAAAUGAAUUUUUCAGGGUUCACUCCAACCAAAGGGCAAAUGGUGUAAGACAACAUAUGGUACAAUGUCUGACUUUCGAAUGUCAAGUGCUCAGGUAUUGCAGGACCAGAAUAAUCUUGAAUCUUUUCUUGAUCCAUGAUAGACCAAAAUUCAUCAUCAGAGAUGACAUCAAUGUUGUGCACACGAAUUUCCGUGUCACCAUGCUUGAAGCGAGGAAAAUGAAAGUGAGACGUGAAAUCCAUGGAAGUGCAUUUGAUUUGAUUUCCCUCUAUCAUCCAUUCCAUGCUCUACUUGGAGCUAUUUGGCUCAGAAUAAUUUCGCGGUUCCAAGGAUGCUCGAACACAAACAACUUGGUGAGACAAAAGUCAUCCAAAUCCCGAAGCAAUUGAUUGAAACAACAAAUAUUUUGCAUAGCAGGAAUGUUGAGAUAUUCAUAAGGAAAUAUCUUUAGGUUGUCGUAGAGGACCCGAGAGUAAUUAAUGGCAUGUACUUGUGACAGCCCGAAACCGACGUUCCAGAACAUUCCCCCUUAUUUCCGUUUUCGUCGGGUGACUUAUUUUAUUUGUCGCAUCAUUCGCACCAUCCGCAUUGCAUCGACAUCCCGUUGCUGCCAGUUUUCAAAACUUGCAUCCGUUGUUAGUUGCCGGUUCGCGUCGUUGUUCGUUCUUAGCCCGACCAUACUCGCACGCGCCCGCGGCAUCGUUCAAAUCUUGUUUUUAAAAGUGUGUAUAAAACUUUCUCUGAUUGGGUUGAAACUUGGCAUGCGGUCUUAAUAUAUUAUAGGUAGGCCGCCUGCCAAUUUUCGUCCCAAUCGGAGUCCGUCUGGUACCCGAAUGGUCGAACGUAUUCGGUCUAUCGUCGGACGUUUUAUCGAUGUUUUAAAAUACAUUGUCGGGUGCCCGUUUUCCCUCUUAUCCCUACCUAGCCUACUCUACACAGCUAACCCUAACCCGACUCUCCGAUCGGACCGUACGAUCGCGAUCGGAUGGUCGAAAAACCCCCAAAACCCCCUAACCUAGCCCCCUUUCCUAUUUAAACCCCCCUAACCUGCCCCUAAUGAAAACCCUAGCCGGCUGCCUCGAUUUCAGCGCCCACCAACCCAGCCGCCGCCACCUGGUCUCCCUCCUCUCCCCGCAGCCCCUCGUCCCCCAGCGCCCGGCCCGCACGAGCCCAUCGGGGGCCCAACGGGUCCGAACUCUCGUCGCCCGAGCCCGGAUUGCGCCGCCUCCAGCCGGCUCCUCCCACGGGAGCUCCUCCCGCGCGCCCCUCGCCAAUUCUUGUCGAGCUCCCCGUCGCCGCGCUGCCUUGGGGCCUCGCCGGAGCGCCGCCACCUCUGCGAGCCCGCCUCCUGCAAGCCUCCCGCCGCCGACCAGCCAUGGCCUCGAGCGCCCAGUUGCGGUCCCCUUGCCCGAUCUGCAUCGCCAUAUAGAUCUUUCCCAAGCAUAUGACGUUAGCCAAGAUAAAGGAGAAAUAAGGAAUCGGUGAAGAUCACCAUGACUCUUUCAAGGGCAAAAAGUAAAGGUACAAGAUAGGCCCUUCGCAGAGGGAAGCAGAGGUUGUCAUGCGCUUUUGAGGUUUGAAUGCGUGUCCUCUUAGUGCGGAGGAACGUCACUUUAUAUUGCCUCUUGUGAUAAAGAACUUUAUUAUGCAGUCUGUCGCUUUUAUGUCUUCCUCAUCACAGGUUCGUGCAAAGCUUAUUUUCCACACACGAAUAGAUCAAACAUAUUAGGCAGCAAUUUUUAUUGCUUGCACCGAUGACAACUUACUUGAGGGAUCUUAUUCAAUCCAUAGGUAGAUAUGGUGGACACUCAUGGAAAAACUGGUUUGAAGGUUUAUGGAUGCACAAGUAGUAUCUCUACUUGGUGCGGGAGUUUUGGCUAAUAUGAGGUGGAAGCAAUCGUCACAUGCUAAGGGAUCUCUAAUCAUAUAACAUUGUUAGGAACCAAGCAAACACAAUUCAUUAUGUUGUCUUCCUUGUCCAACAUCUACUUCUAGGCAUGUAAUAGUUUAGUGAGUGUUCACAAUCAUAGAUGGUGUCAGAGCUGAUAUAUUAAUAUGUGAACCUCUCCUUCUUUAUCACUUCCUAUUAAUUGCAACAAUGACCAAGGUCUACGUUUGCCUACCCUCAACAAGUUUCAAUCCUCAUUAUUUUUAUAUGUGAAGCCAUCACUUCCCAUAAAAUCAUUACAUGAUCUUUCAUGCUUUUGUUCUAUUCUCACUCUUUUGAUCACGGCAAGAGGCAAAGCCUUUCAACUAAGACACUCUUUAUUAUAUGGCUCACGAGCUCGAAUACAUCGGGGGUGACACAAAGCAAAACUCAAGACUAAAACACUAAGACUUUUAAACUACUAGAGAAAGAGAUAAUUGAAAAGGAAAACUAAAACAAAGGUAAAGGCAAAAGAUGUGAUGGUGAUACGAUACCGGGGCAACUCCCCCAAGCUUGGCACAAGCCAAGGGGAUUGCCCAUACCAAUGCUCAGUUGUCUUCCUUUGGUGGUGAAGGUGGAGGAGUUGUUGCAAUCUUUGACUCCAAGAGGGCCAUUAAUCUUUGAUUUAUACCUUGGAGAUCUACGAUAUGUUUUUCCAGCAAAACAACUUCACGGGUGAGACAAGUAUUGCGAGCACGAGUUGUUUCACAAAACCUCAAGACUUCAAUCAAAGAUGGAGACAGUAGGUGGAGGUAGGGUUGGAGGAAAUCCACAUCUUCAACUUCUUCCUUGUUGAGCACAGAUUGCACUUCGUCCCAUGCCUGAUCCUUCUCCUUAGCUUUGUCCUUGGUUUCUUUAGGUAGCCUUUCCUUAGCCUCCAUGACCUCCAUCCUUUUCAGAUCAACAUGAACUUCUCCAUAGAUUUGACGGAGAUUGUCCCCCCCACAGAUUCCUGGGACGACAUCUUGCUCUAAAUCUGCGGCAGAAAACAGGCUCGAAACAAAAAACAGAGGAAAUAUGUGUGAUGCAGGGGUCAGACCAAACGAAAGUAUAUAUAAUGAUUUUUUCAGACCAGAAGGAGUACCCUGCACGAAAACGGAGUCCGGGAGGCGCACGAGGUGGCCACAAGCCCUCACGGCGCGACCAGGGGGUGGGCCCGCGCCGUGCAGGCUUUUCGCCUCCUCGCGCACUUUCCGGACUACUUCCAUUUUUUGUAUUUUUUCAAAUAUUCCAAAACGGAGAAAAUUUCCUACUGGAAAAGUUUUGGACUCUGUUUUCUUACCGAAUCACAUACCUCUUCGUUUUUGGAGUCUGAAAUAGGCUGAUAAAUAUCCCUUAGGUAUUCUUCCGGAGUUAUGGUAUUGAUGAUAUUGCUUUCAACAUUUAUGGGAGUACCUAAGAUAUAAUGCUUGAUUAUGUGCCCAUUUACCACUCUCGGACAAUUACCUUCCGUGUUGUUGAUCUUGAUAGCACCGGAACGAUAUACUUCCUCAACAACAUAGGGACCUUCCCAUUUAGAGAGAAGCUUGCCUGCAAAGAAUCUUAAACGAGAGUUAUAUAGCAAGACAUAAUCACCUACAUUGAACUCACGCUUUUGUAUCCUCUUAUCAUGCCACCUCUUAACCUUCUCUUUGAACAGCUUGGCAUUCUCAUAUGCCCGAGUUCUCCACUCAUCAAGCGAGCUAAUAUCAAAUAACCUCUUCUCACCGGCAAGUUUGAAAUCAAAGUUGAGCUCUUUGAUUGCCCAAUAAGCUUUAUGCUCUAGCUCAAGAGGUAAAUGACAAUCUUUCGCAUACACCAUUUUGUACGGAGACAUGCCCAUGGGAUUCUUAUAGGCAGUUCUAUAAGCCCACAGUGCAUCAUCGAGCUUCUUAGACAAUUCUUUCUAGACCUGUUGACAGUCUGAAAGGAUCGAUAUGGUUGGCUAGAGGGGGGGGGGGUGAAUAGACAACGACCACUUUUUAAUUAAUCUUAACAAGUUAAGCUAAACACUAUACGGGUUCACAAAUAAUAUGACAAAGAGGUGACCCCUAUAGAAGCUACCAACAAGACCUAUUAAGACAAGUAAGAUAUAGUCACAUGUAAAAGCAAAUACAAAGUAAAGGUUAGAGAUAACCACAAGUGGAACCGAUGGAUACGAGGAUGUGUUACCGAAGUUCCUUCCCUUUGACAGGAAGUACGACUCCGUUGGAGCGGUGUGGAGGCACAAUGCUCCCCAAAAAGCCACUAAGGCCACCGUAUUCUCCUCACGCCCUCGCACGAUGCAAGGUACCGUGAUUCCACUAUAGGUGCCCUUGAAGGCGGCGACCGAACCUUUACAAACAAGGUUGGGGCAACUCCACACAAAGCUUAGAGGCUCCCAACAAGACCACGAAGCUUCACCACAAUGGAAUAUGGCUUCGAGGUGACCUCAACCGUCUAGGAUGCUCAAACACCCAAGAGUAACAAGAUCCGCAAGGGAUAGGUGGGGGAAUCAACUUUUCUCUUGGUGGAAGUGUGGAUCUAGGCCUUCUCAACCAAUCCCUAAAGAAUCAAAAAGUUUGAUUGGCUAGGGAGAGAGAUCGGGCACUUUUAAGCUUGUGGAGCAACAAUGGAGCUUAGAGAGGUAAGAGAUAGGGUUCCUCAGCUAGAAGAACCCUUUAUAUAGUGGGGGGGGGGAAUCAGACCGUUUUCCCACUCUCUGCCCGAGAUCCAGCAGUACUACCGCUGGGAAGGAGCGGUACUACCGCUGCCUGGCGGUACUACCGCUGGAUGCAGCGGUACUACCGCUGGGGCUUCCAGCGGUACUACCGCUGGCCCCUUGGUAGUGCAUAAGCACUACUACCGCCGGGAAAGUCUUCGCAAAAGGGUCCGUCCACGAACUACCGCUAGGUAGGUGGAACAAGGCACCUGGAGCGGUACUACCGCUGACCAGGGGGCGGUACUACCGCUGGCUAGCGGUACUACCGCUGUCAAGUGGCGGUACUACCGCCAGACAGCGGUACUACCGCUGGCUGCAGUGGUACUACCGCUGGCAGUCCAGCGGUACUACCGCUGGCACCAGCGGUACUACCGCUGGGGACCAUUUUGCAGAGAUGCUCAAGACGAAUUAGGCGAGGGCCGCUCCAAACAAGGAAGGGGAGAAUUGUGAAGUGUGCGUGUGUAAAGAUAGAUUCCACCCAAACCUUUCCACUACGGAUCCCCUCUUAAUAGUACGGCUUUCCUAUGACUCAAAUAAAGAGAAUCGUAGAGAGCGCCGUGUUUCCGUUCCAGAAGAGAGGAGACGAGUUGUCGUGUGCCGUUGACGAGUGUUACCUGAAACCUUGACACACACGAUUAGUCCUGUACGGUACUGUCAUCAAUCACCAAAAUUACUUAGUCAUAAACUAUGCCUCAACAAUCUCCCCCUUUUUGGUGGAUUGAUGACAAUACCGGAUUUGCACAGAUAAUAAUAUGAGAAUAAAAAGAUAGAGAUAUAUGACAUAUGACUCACAGCAUAUGAUGGAAAUAAAUCUAAUCUCACAUAAGAAAGAUCAUGUCUCACACAAGAUAGCAAACGAAUCAAACCAAGUUCAAAGCAAACCAUACGAGAUAAAGCAAAGCAAUGCAAAGUUCGAAGUGAAAGCAAAUCCUAGACUCUCUCCCCCUUUGGCACAAGACACCAAAAAGGGGCACACCUAAUGCCACAGGUAACUACUCCUCGUCUUCAGGAUCACCAGACUCGUCUGUCCCCUCCUGGUCGGUCUGCUCCUCCUCUGCUGCCUCAUCGCCAGACCACUGGUACCCCUGAGCCUGCAUCCAAGUGGCCUCCGGAGUGAUGUCGUCCUCAGAGCCGCUGGAGAUGUCCACAUCCAAGGUCCUGAGAACACGCUUAUGCCUCUGGCGGCUCUGCUUCUGAGCCACAUGUGUCUGGUACUGUCCCUUGGCCUGCAUACAGAAAAGUGUCUUUAUCUUGUCCUGCAGUUUGAUAGCCCAAGAUGGCAUGGCAGACGAGCGGGGCUGAGAGGCAGGUCCUCUGCCAGCAGCGGUCUCUGUAUCAGUGUCCAUGUGCUGAGAAGAUGAAGAUGGGUUGGCCCACUUGUCCUUGAUGCGCAGCUUGAUUGGGUCAUGCACAAUGUAAUCAGACUAUGCGUAGAGCACCUCAUCCGGAAACGCCUGUUGCCACUUAUGGCUGAUGUAUGCGAACAGGUAAGGCCCGUAGAUAGGAACCUUACGGUUGAUGAUGCAGUUCCAGAUCUCUGUGAACAUCACAUCUGCAAUAUCCAGUGGAGCAGACUCCUGAGACAUAGCUUCCUCACACAGUAACAGCAUCUCAGCCAAGUAGCCAUGGACCUCAUCGAAGUUACCACUCCGAGGGAAGAGGGUGUUGCGAAAGAUGCGAUGCAUGAUGUCCAGGUGCUUGGGAAGCACCCCCUUCCUCAGAUACAGUGACUGCAGUCUGUCCUUUGCGAGGGCCCUAUCAGUGGGGGCUGGAGCGUGAGGACGCAGCCCAAGAGGAGUGUCAGCAUCCUGAAAGUCAAUGUGAAGGAACUGCAUGAACUCUGCCCAAGAACCGGUCAUUUUCUUUGACCCAGUCAUCCAUAUCAUGGAGCGCUGUUCAUCAUGGGAGAAAUGGACUGUGACAUAAAACUGAGCAACUGCCGUGGGAUCAAAAUCCGUCUUGAAGGAGAUGAUGUUUUUGAUGCCCAGCUUGUCAAUCAAAGCGAGGGCAUCACCAAAGUACUCCAUGUUCCGCUGAAGAUGUGCCAGAUCAAUCCACUGGACAGAGACAAAGUUCUUCUUGAAGUUGGCAAUAACAUCUCGAUAGAUCCUGCAAUGGUCCUUUACCCAGACAUGGUCAACACCAUCAAUCUCAUCCCUCUCCUGGAGAUAGUGGUUCUUGGUGCAAAAUUGCAGAAAGUCCUUGGGGGACAUUGUACGGACAUUCACCCUCUUAUGAGCGACCUUCUUGAAGGACUUCUUCUUGGGAGGCAGGCCAGACGUGGCAGACCCCUCGGGCGCCUCUGGGUUGCGAAACUGUUUGGAUUGCGUUUCCCGUGGGGGGUUCGAACGGCGAGCAGAGCCACCUGUGACACAGACCACAAAGCAAGAAAGAGGCAACAAGAAGAGUCAAGGCAAUGAAUCUUGAAAACGCGAAACAAGUAAACACGGAUUGCUAAGCAAAAACAAGCUGAAAAUACACCGUGAAUGCUCUGGCGGUAGUACCGCUGGGGGUCAUAGCGGUAGUACCGCUACCCCUGGCGGUAGUACCGCUGGGGUCCUAGCGGUAGUACCGCUGGGGGUUUGACUUUCAGAUCUACACAUAUAGAACUCGUUUUCGAUGGCAUGGACUGAAUAUGAACACUAAGACGUACACCCCAGCCCUACUGUCAUGAGAAACACAUAGUAACACGAGGUACAAACAUGCCUAGGCAAGAGAGAGCACGUUUUAGAUCUAAUCCAAAAGUUCAAGUAUUCGAUCUAAGACGAUGAAAUCCAAAACCAUGGCAGCAAUCAUAACAACAAACCAUUGGACCUAUACUCCCCUCAAAUAUUUCCUUCAUGCCAUCCAAUAACUAGCCAUAGGAUCAACAAGAUGAAUCCAAUCCCCAAUGCUCCUAACCCUAGAACACGAAGAACAACCAAAUAGAAGAAGGGAGGAGCUUUUGUUACCGGGAUUCAUGGCUUUGGAGGAGAAAGAAGAAGUGAAGCAGCCCUUCCACACCAACGGGGAGAAGGAGCUCCACGAAGUGAGAUCCAAUCGGGGGGUUUUAGGUCUAGGGGAUGGAGGAGCCGCGAGGAAGAAGAAACAGAUGGGAAAAUCGGGCUCCCCCUCCCUUUAUAUAGCCCAAGGGGUACGGACAGCGGUAGUACCGCUGGGGUGCAGCGGUAGUACCGCUGGGCUGGCAGUAGUACUGCUGGGGUCCUGGCGGUAGUACCGCUCCCCCUUGAAACCCUAGAAAUUUUCUAGCCGGCCGUGGUAGAUUUUGAAUCCUUGCGGUAGUACCGCUACCCCUGGCGGUAGUACGGCUGGGGUCCUGGCGGUAGUACCGUUACCCCUGGCGGUAGUACCGCUGGGGUCCUGGCGGUAGUACCGCUACCCCUGGCGGUAGUACCGCUGGGGUCCUGGCGGUAGUACCGCUACCCUGGCGGUAGUACCGCUAUACAUGUUUCAACACGGCUAGGAAAAUGGGAAACUUGGGCACAUGACAAGUGAGUAAAAAGGGAUGACUUCCAAGAAAAUGUACUGACUUGUCAUUGUAUAUCCUCUCCUUUAUACGCAAGAGAGGAUGGAGGGGCGGUGUCCGUGGCCACCUAUGUUUGAGACAAUGGUAUGACACCGCGAAGAAUUAUCCUUGGGUUCAUGACCAAUGCUCGUCUUUGAAGCACAAGUACCAUUUGACAAUGGCUAAAGUGAAAGACUAGAUUGAUUUACGCAUAAUGGGGGGAGGGAGAGUUCAUUGAGAGAACAACACUCCCCCUAUGUCCAUGCCUACAUCUAGACCAAGAUGAAAUGUGAAGUGAGGUGCAAUAUGCCUAGUUUCAAUCCACAUUACUUGAAUCAAUGAUAUUUAGCUCAUGCCUUAACUCCCGGAACCUUGCUUCAUCUAGUGGCUUGGUGAAAAUAUCUGCAAGUUGCUCUUCAGUGUGGAUGAAGUGAACCUCAAUAUCACCUAGCUUGAUAUGUUCACGGAUGAAGUGAUGACGAAUAUCAAUAUGUUUGGUUUUGCUAUGUUGCACUGGGUUGAGGGAAAUCUUGAUGGCGCUUUGAUAGUCACAUAGAAGAGGCACUUUGUCACAAGUGACACCAUAAUCCUUUAAAGUUUGCCUCAUCCAUAGCAAUUGAGCACAACAACUUGCAGCCGCCACAUACUCAGCCUCGGUGGAUGAUAAGGAGAUGCAGUUCUGCUUCUUUGAAGACCAACUUACCAAAGAGCGACCAAGGAAUUGGCAUCCUCCAGACGUUGACUUCCUCUCCACACAAUCUCCAGCCCAAUCUGAGUCAGAAUAGCCAACUAGAUUGAAGUUUGCUCCUUUGGGAUACCAGAGGCCAAAGUUUGGGGUAUGAGCCAAAUAUCGAAAGAUUCGUUUGACAGCCAUGUAAUGACUUUCUUUUGGUGCGGAUUGAAACCGUGCACAUAUCCCUACACUCAACAUAAUAUCCGGUCUAGAUGCACAGAGGUAAAGGAGGGAUCCAAUCAUGGAGCGGUAUACCUUUUGAUCCACAGCUUUACCAUUGGGAUCACUGUCUAGCUUGCAUCUGGUUGGCAUGGGAAACUUGACCGGUUUGACAUGCUCGAGCUCGAACCGCUUGAGCAUGUCUUGAGUGUAUUUGGCUUGUUUGAUGAAUGUCCCUUCUAGACCUUGGUUAAUCUCGAACCCGAGGAAAAACUUCAACUCUCCCAUCAUGGACAUCUCAAACUUCUCAGUCAUUAGUGCAGCAAAUUCUUCAUUGAAUGAAAUGUUAGGAGAGCCAAAGAUAAUAUCAUCAACAUAUAGUUGGCAUAUGAACAAAUCCCCUUUAACCCUCUUAGUAAAAAGAGUGGGAUCAAUCUUCCCAAUUUCAAACCCACGAUCUUGUAACAACUCAGUAAGGUACUCAUACCACGCGCGUGGGGCUUGUUUAAGGCCAUAGAGUGCCUUAUUGAGUUUGUACACAUGAUUGGGGAGCUUGGGAUGUUCGAAUCCCGGGGGUUGUUUGACAUAUACUAACUCAUUCAAAGGACCAUUAAGAAAUGCACUUUUCACAUCCAUUUGCUGUAAUUUGAAGUUAUGAUGAGAAGCAAAUGCAAGUAACAUGCGGAUAGAUUCUAGACGAGCAACAGGAGCAAAGGUUUCACCGUAGUCGAUACCCUCGACUUGGGAGUAGCCUUGAGCCACCAAUCUUGCCUUGUUUCGAAUCACAAUUCCAUUCGCAUCUUGCUUGUUCUUAAAUAUCCAUUUGGUCCCAAUGACAUUAUGUUCCUUCGUUGGUCGAGGCACUAAAUCCCAUACUUGGUUGCGCUCGAAGUUGUUAAGUUCUUCGUGCAUGGCCAUAAGCCAAUCCUCAUCAUCGAGUGCUUCCUGUACCUGUUGAGGUUCACAAUACGAGACAAACGCGUGAUGCUCACAAUAAUUCCAAAGCUGUUGACGAGUAGAUACUCCCUUUUUUAAACUGCCAAGAACAUUCUUCAUAAGGUGUGAUUUGACUCUCAGCUUGUUCGCAUUCUUGGCUGCUCGACGCUCCAAGAGUUCUUCAUUAGAUAACGGAGGUGCGUCGCCUUGUUUCGCUUGUUUGCCCUUGCGUCUUGAGCCGGUUGUUGGAGCUCCAGACGGGAAUUGUGAGACAGUUUCCUGAUCAUCUUGUCCUUCGACCUGAGCAAGUUCACUGGUUUGGUCUUGUAUUAGUGGUUGCUCUUGAUCUUGAUCUCGUGCUAGUUCAAGGUCUUGGGGUAGUGCUUGAGUGGGCAUAUCACCAUUGUUAGGCAAUUGAUCUUGACCGAGAGCUUGAUCAACUUGUUGAGAGUCUUCUCUUUGUUCAUCGGAAGCGUGUGGGGCUUGUGGGGGUGAUGGCUCCACUUGAGUAGAGCAUUGCCCUUCUCCAUCGGCCACAAGGGGUUCCUCAAUGGGUAGUAUUUGACCAAUCCCCAUUCUUCUUAUGGCUUCGGGAGGAAUUUCAUCACCUAUAUCACAAAGACCACUUUGCUCCACUUGGGAGCCAUUAUUUUCGUCAAACUCCACGUUACACGUCUCCUCAAUUAGUCCGGUGGACUUGUUGAGGACACGGUAAGCAUGAGAGUUUGUAGCAUAACCAACAAAGAUACCCUCAUGUGCUCUAGAAUCAAAUUUAGCUAACCGAGCUCCCUUUUUAAGAAUGAAACACUUACAACCGAAUACCCGGAAGUACUUGAGAUUGGGUUUGUUUCCAGUUAGAAUCUCAUACGGAGUCUUGUUCAAGCCUUUGCGGAUAUAGAGCCGAUUGGACGCAUGACAUGCUGUGUUGAUGGCCUCUGCCCAGAAGUUGUACGGAGAUUUGAAUUCUGCCAUCAUUGUUCUUGCAGCGUCUAUCAAGGUCCGGUUCUUCCUUUCUGCCACCCGUUUUGCUGAGGGGUAUAUGGUUCAGAAUAUUGGUGCUUUAUUCCCUCAUCACCUAGAAACUCAUCUAGGGUGUAGUUCUUGAACUCGGUGCCGUUGUCACUCCUAAUCAUCAAGAUCUUUGCUACAUGUAGACGUUGCGCUUCAUUAGCAAAGUUGAUGACCGUUUGUUGAGUUUCACUCUUCCUUUUGAAGAAAUAUACCCAGGUAUAUCUUGAGUAAUCGUCAACAAUGACUAAGCAAUACUUUCUGCCUCCAAGACUAUCAAAUGUUGGAGGACCAAACAGAUCCAUGUGAAGAAGUUCCAAUGGCCUCUUAGUGUAGAUAAGAGUUAUUGGACGAUGAGCAGUUUCAUGAAUCUUUCCUUCAAUGCAAGCACUGCAAACACGAUCUUUAGCAAAGCUCACAUUUGUUAGUCCACGAACAUGGUCCCCUGUCAGAAGACUUUGCAAAGAUCUCAUAUUGACAUGAGCUAAACGGCGAUGCCAAAGCCAGCCCACGUCAACUUUAGCCAUUAAACAUGUCGCAGUCUUAGUGGGUCGCUUUGAAAAGUUUACCACAUAGAGACCAUUUUCGACAUGUCCAACAUAGGCUACUUUAAGAGUCUUGCUCCUUAGGAGGACCACAGUGUCAAUAUUAAAGAAUGUGGAAAAACCCAUGAUUGCAAGUUGACGAACGGAAAGUAAAUUGUAGGCAAGAGACUCAACAAGCAUGACCUUCUCAAUAGACAAAUCUUGAGAGACGACCACCUUACCAAAUCCCAAUACCUUUGACGAGGAUGCAUCGGCGAAUUGGACAUGGGUGGGCAUAGAUGGAGAAGGAUGCACAUCCACCACUAAGUCCUUGCUUCUGGUCAUAUGAUUUGUUGCUCCACUAUCGAGCAACCAUGACACCCCACCGGAAGCAAACUCCUGCAAUAGAUCAAGGCUUGGUUUUAGGUACCCAUUUUUUAAUGGGUCCUUUCAUGUUAGAGACAAGGGUCUUAGGAACCCAGAUAGCCCAUUCAAUAUCUUCAUCGUAGGAACCAAUAAAUCUAGCAUAAACAUGCCCAUCACUAGCACAACGUAACACAUAAGAGGAAUUGAGUUUGCCGGCUGUGUUAGUAGGAGCGGUUUUGCCCUUCUUGGGGUUCCCAUAGUCCACCUUGUUCCUGUUCACCUUCUGAGUCCCCUCACCCUCCUUGACAAAGAUGUCCAUGAGGGUGAGAGAUCGUUUGUUCUUGUUCUUCCUUUUACCUUUUGACUUGGAGGUAAGUCCAAGUCCUUCCUUUCCUACAACACCCUUUUGAGUGCUCAAGAGAUCGUUCAGACUCUUCUCACCUUGUCUGCAUGACACAAGGCCCUUCUCAAGUUUCUCCUUUAACUUGGCAUUUUCCUCCACAAGAUGAACAUGCUCACAACAGGGGUUAGUUGCACAAGUAUUAUCAAUUAACACAAAGGGAGGACAAGUAGAGAUCUCCUUGGUAAGCUUUGCUUGGAGUUGAUCAUGAGACUCUUUCAGAGCGAAAUGAGCACCUUUCAAGGCUUUGUGGGCCUUGUCAAGUAUGUCAAACUCUUCUUUGAGUCUGUCACGGCCAACCUCAAGAGCAUACUUUUCAGAUUUAAGCAUGCGAGUAAGAACAACAUCAUGAUCUAGUUUCUUUUGCAUUUUAGUGCAGUCAUCGUUAUAUGACUCCUCAAGAGCCAAACGAAGAGUGCGCUCUUCUUCUAGAGUACUAGAUAAUUCGGCAAUUUCAUCGGCAUAGUCACGGCUAUGUCCAUGAAGCUCGGAGAUGGUCUCCUCAUGAGACUCAAUGAGGUCAGUGGCCUCACCCAGUUGUUCCAAGAGGGCAACAAAAUGCUUCUUGGUUUCUCCCUUAAUAGUGCAUAGAAACUUAUCAAGAUCAUGCUCAUUAAGUUCUCCAACAUCACUAUCUUCUACACAAUUUAACAAUGAAGGAGCAGAAGCAAUGUUGGUCUUAAUGAUAGGAGUUACCUGAUUGGUACCUUUUGCCAUGAGGCACUUGGUGAUGUGGUUCUCGUUGGGGGCGUUGAAGAGAGACACCUUCUGGGAAGGGGUAGUGGCUAUAGCAACAGUUGUUGUUGCCACUGUAUCAUCACAUCAGAAGGAUACUCCUCCAGGGCCACCAUUCCUUUUGGGUGAGGUUUCUUCACAAAGUUGUUCUUGAUUGGAAAUGAUUUGGUUUUGUCUUUGCGAAUGAGCUUGCCUCCGUUGUCUUCUCUCUUCUCAUAGGGGCAUUCUGCCACGAAGUGACUCACGUUGCCACAGUUAUAACAUGUCCUUACUCGUUGUUUGGGUUUGAAUCCACUAGAGUUGUUCUUGUUGAAGGUUGGUCUUGCGUUCCUUUUAUUUCCCCAGAAUUGCCUUGAUGCAAGAGCCAUGUGCUCAUGACAGGCAUACUUUGUGUCUUCCGGGCAGCUCUCCUCUUCCUCAUAUUCUUCUUCUUCUUCAAGCAUUGCUCUUGCUUUCAACGCAAGUUUGGGUGAAGUGGUUUUUGAUCGGACACGAGCAAGUGCAUUGUCGGCUGUUUCGUUCAUGAUUGACAUUGCAAUGAACUCAUCCAACACUUCACUGGAAGACAAGGAGUGGAAGUCUGGCCGCUGACGAAUGACAGAUGACAUGGCUUUAUUGAAAGGCAUGAUGGCUUUGAGAAACUUGCGCUUGACCCAAGUGUCAUCCACAUCCUUACUCCCAUGGUCCUUUAGUGCCACAGCAAUAUCCGUCACCCUCCGAUAGAGAUCACGAGGGUCCUCUUCUUCCUUCAUCACAAACUCAUCGGCCUGAUCAAGUAUCACUUCAUAGUUGGAUCAUUGAAUACUUGAGCUUCCCUUUUACAACACCAUAAUAUGCUCCCAACAAUCCUUGGCCAAUGUGAAGGGACGUAAGUGGGGAAGAUCUUCAGGUGGCACAACAGACUGGAGAAUAAACAGCGCAGAGUGAUUAUAUUGAAUGUCUGCAUCUUCUGUUGGAGUGAGGUUGCUUGGGUCAUGGGGGUAAUAUCCUUGCUCGAUAAUUCUCCACAAGUUUGUUGAGCCGUGAUUCAAAUGAGACUUAAUAGAAAAUACCCAGUUAGCAAAGUCACCUUUUACAAGUUUAGGAGGAGGACCAACAGGAUUAAGACGAGGUGCGAGAACGGGUCCUCCAUAUGUCAUGGGAGGUGGAACCGAAGCAUGUGUUCCCGUUCCAUCUUUUUCGUGAGGUGAAGCAGGUUGCAUACCUUUAGCCGCUUCCUUAGAGGAGUUGGCCUUCGAAUCGGAAAUGGUGGGUUUAACCACUAAAGCCGGUUUGGGUGAACUUUUAAGACCCUCAAUUAAUUCUUUAAGCAUGGUUUUGACUUCGCUCGUCAAGGACGUCUUGAGGGCGGCCAUAGCCGUAUUCAAGUCGUCCCUUGUGACCGAAGUCAAGUCCAUGUCCUCGGGUUGCCCACGGUUAACUUCCUCUCCGCCUUCCAUACUCUUCGGGUGGUUAAACCCUUAAUAAAGAGACGUGGCUCUGAUACCAAUUGAAAGGAUCGAUAUGGUUGGCUAGAGGGGGGGGAGGGUGAAUAAACAACGACCACUUUUUAAUUAAUCUUAACAAGUUAAGCUAAACACUAUACGGGUUCACAAAUAAUAUGACAAAGAGGUGACCCCUAUAGAAGCUACCAUCAAGUCCUAUUAAGACAAGUAAGAUAUAGUCACAUGUAAAAGCAAAUACAAAGUAAAGGUUAGAGAUAACCACAAGUGGAACCGAUGGAGACGAGGAUGUGUUACCGAAGUUCCUUCCCUUUGACAGGAAGUACGUCUCCGUUGGAGCGGUGUGGAGGCACAAUGCUCCCCAAAAAGCCACUAAGGCCACCGUAUUCUCCUCACGCCCUCGCACGAUGCAAGGUACCGUGAUUCCACUAUAGGUGCCCUUGAAGGCGGCGACCAAACCUUUACAAACAAGGUUGGGGCAACUCCACACAAAGCUUGGAGGCUCCCAACAAGACCACGAAGCUUCACCACAAUGGAAUAUGGCUUCGAGGUGACCUCAACCGUCUAGGAUGCUCAAACACCCAAGAGUAACAAGAUCCGCAAGGGAUAGGUGGGGGAAUCAACUUUUCUCUUGGUGGAAGUGUGGAUCUAGGCCUUCUCAACCAAUCCCUAAAGAAUCAACAAGUUUGAUUGGCUAGGGAGAGAGAUCGGGCACUUUUAAGCUUGUGGAGCAACAAUGGAGCUUAGAGAGGUAAGAGAUAGGGUUCCUCAGCUAGAAGAACCCUUUAUAUAGUGGGGGGGGGGAAAUCAGACCGUUUUCCCACUCUCUGCCCGAGAUCCAGCAGUACUACCGCUGGGAAGGAGCGGUACUACCGCUGGGGCUUCCAACGGUACUACCGCUGGCCCCUUGGUAGUGCAUAAGCACUACUACCGCCGGGAAAGUCUUCGCAAAAGGGUCCGUCCACGAACUACCGCUAGGUAGGUGGAACAAGGCACCUGGAGCGGUACUACCGCUGACCAGGGGGCGGUACUACCGCUGGCUAGCGGUACUACCACUGUCAAGUGGCGGUACUACCCCUGGCACCAGCGGUACUACCGCUGGGGACCAUUUUGCAGAGAUGCUCAAGACGAAUUAGGCGAGGGCCGCUCCAAACAAGGAAGGGGAGAAUUGUGAAGUGUGCGUGUGUAAAGAUAGAUUCCACCCAAACCUUUCCACUACGGAUCUCCUCUUAAUAGUACGGCUUUCCUAUGACUCUAAUAAAGAGAAUCGUAGAGAGCGCCGUGUUUCCGUUCCAGAAGAGAGGAGACGAGUUGUCGUGUGCCGUUGACGAGUGUUACCUGAAACCUUGACACACACGAUUAGUCCUGUACGGUACUGUCAUCAAUCACCAAAAUUACUUAGGCAUAAACUAUGCCUCAACACAGUCUUUUCCAGAAUCAGUUUAAUCUCUCUAUUACUUAGCUCUACUUGACCACUGGACUGAGGGUGAUAGGGAGACGUAAUUCUAUGGUAGACAUCGUACUUAGCAAGCGUUUUAUGGAAAGCACCAUGAAUGAAGUGUGAACCACCGUCGGUCAUUAGAUAUCUAGGGACUCCAAAUCUAGGGAAGAUAACUUCUUUCAGCAUCCUGAUAGAGGUGUUGUGAUCAGCACUACUAGUGGGGAUAGCUUCUACCCACUUAGUGACGUAAUCAACAGCAACUAAGAUGUGAGUAUACCCAUUGGAUUUUGGAAAAGGUCCCAUAUAAUCAAAGCCCCAAACAUCAAAUGGUUCAAUGACAAGUGAAUAGUUCAUAGGCAUUUCCUCACGUUUGCUAAUAUUACCUAUUCUCUCACAUUCGUCACAAAACAAGACAAACUUACGGGCAUCCUUGAAGAGAGUGGGCCAAUAGAAACCUGAUUGCAAUACCUUGUGUGCAGUUCUAUCUCCCGCAUGGUGUCCUCCGUAGGCCUCGGAGUGACACUUCUGUAGGAUCUGUCCAUGUUCAUGUCCAGGUACACAACGUCUAAUAACACCAUCUACUCCUUCCCUAUAAAGGCGAGGAUCAUCCCAGAAGUAAUGUCUCAAGUCAAAGAAGAAUUUCUUCUUUUGCUGGUAUGUGAAACUAGGUGGUAUAUUUUGGGCAACGAUAUAGUUUGCACAAUCAGCAUACCACGGUGCACUACGUGAAGCAUUGAUGACAUUCAAUUGCUCAUCGAGAAAGCUAUAUAUCAUCAAUAGGUUGUGGGUCAUCAAGAACGUUCUCCAACCUAGACAAGUUAUCUGCUACUGGGUUAUCAACACCCUUUCUGUCGACAAUGUGCAAAUCAAAUUCUUGUAGCAAGAGAACCCAUCUCAUAAGUCUAGGUUUAUCGUCUUUCUUCUCCAUGAGGUACUUCAUAGCAACAUGAUCAGUGUGAAUAGUGACUUUGGAAUCAAGUAUGUAAGACCUGAACUUUUCACAUGCAAACAUGACUGCUAAAAAUUCCUUCUCCGUAGUGCAUAGUUUCUUUGGGCACUGUCUAGAGUUUUACUAGCGUAGUGAAUAACAUUCAACUUCUUAUCGACUCUUUGCCCUAGAAUAACACCAACAGCAUAAUCACUAGCGUCACACAUGAUCUCAAAAGGUAAGUUCCAAUCAGGUGAUUGAACAAUAGGUGUAGUUAUCAAAGCCCUCUUAAGUAUUUCGAAAGCUUCCUCACAAUCAUCGGCAAAAACAAAAGGAAUAUCCUUUUGCAAGAGAUUGGUAAGAGGCCUAGAAAUCUUAGAGUAGUCUUUAAUGUACCUUCUAUAGAAACCAGCAUGACCAAGGAAACUUCUUAUUCCUUUGAUAUCUGUGGGGUAUGGCAUUUUCUUGAUUACAUCAACCUUAGCCUUAUCGACUUCAAUACCUCUUUUAGAAAUUUUAUGUCCUAAGACGAUGCCUUCAUUAACCGUAAAGUGGCACUUCUCCCAAUUCAAGACAAGAUUGGUGUCUUUACAUCUCUGCAAGACUCGAUCAAGGUUGCUGAGGCAAUCAUCAAAGGAAGACCCGUAAACAGAGAAGUCAUCCAUGAGAACUUCGACAAUCUUUUCACAAAAGUCAGAGAAUAUAGCCAUCAUGCAUCUUUGAAAGGUGGCAGGUGCAUUACAUAAGCCAAAAGGCAUACGUCUAUAAGCAAAGGUAACGAAAGGGCAGGUGAAAGUGGUUUUCUCCUGAUCAGAUUGUGCAACUGGUAUUUGGGAGAAACCAGAAUAGCCGUCUAGAAAGCAGAAGUGUGUGUGUUUGGACAACCUUUCUAGCAUUUGGUCGAUAAAAGGCAAAGGGUAAUGAUAUUUCCUAGUGGCUUUAUUCAGUUUCGUAAAGUCUAUCACCAUCCUAUAGCCAGUAAUAAUCCUCUGUGGGAUCAAUUCAUCCUUAUUAGGGACAACGGUAAUGCCUCCCUUCUUAGGAACGCAAUGCACUGGACUCACCCAAUCGCUGUGAGCAACAGGAUAAAUGAUACCUGCUUCCAGGAGCUUUAGUAUUUCUUUUCUCACUACUUCUUUCAUCUUAGGAUUUAAUCUCCUUUGAUGAUCAGCAACUGGUUUGAAGUCAGGAUCAGUUUUAAUCUUGUGCUGGCACAGAGUAGGACUAAUGCCCUUAAGAUCAUCAAGAGUAUAUCCAAUAGCAGCACGGUGCUUCCUCAGAGUUUUUAGUAACUUCUUUUCUUCAUGCUGUGAGAGGCUGGCACUAAUAAUGACAGGAUAUAUCUCCUUUUCAUCAAGAUAGGCAUACUUAAGAGUAUCAGGCAACUGUUUAAGCUCGAACACAGGAUCACCCUUUGGUGGGGGUGGAUCCCCAAGCAGUUCAACACGCAAGUUAUUCUUAAGGAUAGGAUAUUGUUCUAAGACAACUCUAUCUAUAUCAUCCCUUUCAUCCAUAUGCAUAUCAUUUUCAUGCUUAAGCAAGUAUUGCUCUAAGGGAUCAGUGGGAGGCACAACAAUAGAGGCUAAGGCAAUAGUUUCAUCCCUACUAGGCAACUCCUUUUCAUGAGGUUGUCUACCAAACUUAGAGAAAUUGAACUCAUGUGACACACCUUCAAGCCAAUAGUGACAGUUUGCUUCUCACAGUCAAUAUGAGCAUUGACAGUAUUGAGGAAGGGUCUGCCAAAUAUGAUGGGACAAAAGCUAUCUUGUGUGGUAGCAAGAACGAGGAAAUCAGCAGGAUACUUUGUUUUACCACAAAAGACUUCAACAUCCCUAACAAUUCCCACAGGGCAGAUAGUAUCUCUAUUGUCAAGCUGAACAGUGACAUCAAUAGGCUCUAUCUCAAUAGGUGCAAUCUCAUCUUUGAUUUCAUCGUAUAAGGAUUGAGGUAUUGCACUAACACUAGCACCCACGUCACAUAAGCCAUGAUAACAAUGAUCUCCUAUCUUAACAGAAACCAUAGGCAUGCCAACAAGAGGCCUAUGUUUGUCUCUAACGUGAGGUUUAGCAAUUCUAGCAGCAUCUUCAUAGAAGUGAAUAUUAUGUCCCUCAACAUCGCCGGACAGAAGAUCUUUGAUAAUAGCAAUGCUAGGUUCAACUCUAAUUUGCUCAGGGGGUGUAGGUGUUCUAAUAUAGCCUCUACGUAUCACAGUUGAAGCUUUAGAAUGAUCCUUUAUCCUAACAGGGAAAGGUGGUUUCUCAAUGUAAGCACUGGGAACAAUAGGAUCAUUAUAGGCAAUGACUUUCUCUUCAACUGGAUUGGGUUUAACUACAUUGACUUCUAACGGAGGAUGAUAUUUAAACCAUUUCUCUUUGGGGAGAUCGAUAUGAGCAGCAAAUGAUUCACACAAUGAAGCUACUAUCUCAGAGUCAAGUCCAUACUUAGCGCUAAAGUCACAAAAAGUAUUUGUCUCAACAAAGGAUUUAACACAAUCAAACGUGAAAUUCAUACCUGACUCCUCACCUUCUUCAAGCUCCCAAUCUUCAGAGUUGCGUUUAGUUCUCUCAAUAAAUUACAUUUGAAUUCAAUAUCUCUCUUCAUAAAAGAACCGGUACAAGAAGUGUCAAGCAUGGUACAAUCAUCGUGAGAAAGCCGAGCAUAGAAAUUCUGAAUGAUCAUUUCUCUCGAGAGCUCAUGAUUGGGGCAUGAAUAUAGCAUUGAUUUAAGCCUCCCCCAAGCUUGAGCGAUGCUUUCUCUGUCACGAGGCCAAAAAUUGUAAAUAUAAUUCCGAUCACGAUGUACUAAAUGCAUAGGAUAAAACUUUUGAUGAAAUUCCAAUUUCAACCGAUUGUAGUCCCAUGAUCCAGUGUUAUCACAUAGUCUAUACCAUGUCAACGCCUUAUCCUUCAAAGAUAAAGGAAAGACCCUCUUCUUGACCUCAUCCUCGGGAAAACCUACAAGCUUAAAUAAACCACGAACUUCAUCUACAUAGAUUAGAUGCAAGUCUGGAUGUGAUGUUCCAUCUCGUGUAAAAGGAUUAGCCAGCAGUUUCUCAAGCAUACCCGAAGGAAAUUCAAAGCAAAUAUUUUUAGUAGGUGCAGUCAGGUUGAGGAGCAACUCUUUGUGCUUCCGUUCGAGGUGAAGAUACCCCGAACAAGCCCCUCAAAGGAUUAGUAUCCAUAGUGACAAGUGACAAUAAAUUUCAGCACACUAUAUGAAUGUUUCCUUACCAAGUUCCACUUACCAAAGGCGCUUCACUCCCCGACAACGGCGCCACAAAAGAGUCUUUAUGACCCACAAGUUUAGGGUAUCAAUCAUAGUCCUUUCGAUAAGUAAGAGUGUCGAACCCAACGAGGAGCAGAAGGAUCUGACAAGUGGUUUUCAAUAAGGAAAUAUCUGCAAGCACUGAAAUUGUCGGUAACAAGUGAUUGUGUGGUGAGAAGAUUCAUAGCGAGUAACAAGUAACAAAAGUAGCAACGGUGCAGCAAAGUGGCCCAAUCCCUUUUGUAGCAAAGGGACAAGCCUGGACAAAGUCUUAUAGGAGGAAAAAUGCUUCCGAGGACACACGAGAAUUUCUGUCAUGCUAGUUUCAUCAUGUUCAUAUGAUUCGCGUUCGUUACUUUGAUAGUUUGAUAUGUGGGUGGACCAGCGCUUGGGUACUUCCCUUACUUGGACAAGCAUCCCACUUAUGAUUAACCCCUCUCGCAAGCAUCCUCAACUACGAAAGAAGAAUUAAUACAAAGUCUAACCAUAGCAUUAAACUAGUGGAUCCAAAUCAACCCCUUACGAAGCAACGCAUAAACUAGGGUUUAAGCUUCUGUCACGCUAGCAACCCAUCAUCUACUUACUACUUCCCAAUGCCUUCCUCUAGGCCCAAAUAAUGGUGAAGUGUUAUGUAGUCAACGUUCACAUAACACCACUAGAGGAAAAACAACAUACAACAUAUCAAAUUACCGAACGAAUACCAAAUUCACAUGACUACUAUUAGCAUGACUUAUCCCAUGUCCUCAGGAACAAAAGUAAUUACUCACAAAGCAUAAUCAUAUUUAUGACCAGAGAGGUAAUGAGUAGCAUCAAGGAUCUGAACAUAAACUCUUCCACCAAAUAAUCCAACUAGCAUCAACUACAAAGAGUAAUCAACACUACUAGCAACCUUACAAGUACCAAUCGAAGUCGCGAGACAGAGAUUGGUUACAAGUGAUGAACUAGGGUUUGGAGAUGAGAUGGUGCUGAUGAAGAUGUUGAUGAUGAGUUGCUGAUGAAGAUGGCGACGAUUUCCCCCUUUGGGAGGGAAGUUUCCCGGUAGGAUCGUCCUGCCGGAGCUCUAGACUGGUUCUUCUCAAGUUCCGCCUCGUGGCGGCGGCGAAUCCACGAAAAAGCUCCUCCCCAAUUUUUUCCUGGACGAAACCCUUCAUAUAGCAAAAGAGGGGGGCAAGUGGGACAACAGGCUGCCGACAAGCCCUCAUGGCGCGGCCUGGGGGGGCUGCCGCGCCGUGCAGGCUUGUGGCCACCUGCACGCGCCCCUCUCGCACUUCUUCGGCCCAGUAUUUUUGAUAAAUCAGGAAAAACAUCCUCGUUGAUUUUUAUGGCGUUUGGAGUUGCGCAGAAUAGGUAUCUCAACUUUGCUCCACUUUCAGACCAGAAUUCCAGUUGCCGGCAUUCUCCCUCUUCAUGUAAACCUUGCAAAAUAAGAGAGAAAAGGCAUAAGAAUUGUACCGUGAAGUGAAAUCACAGCCCAAGAAGCGAUAAAUAUCAACAUGAAAACAUGAUGCAAAAUGGACGUAUCACACCCCUGCAGGGUUAAAUCUUUCGGAAAGCCGUGCCCGUGGUUAUGUGGCAACGUGGAAACUUUGUUUAACACUGGUUCUAGAUAACUUGAAGUUAACUUAAUUAAAAUAUGCCAACUGAGUGCGUAACCGUGACUGUCUCUUUCGUGAGUUCCUUCUCUGAUCGAGGACAUGGUGGGGUUAUGUCUGACGUAGUAGGUGUUCAGGAUCAUUCAUUUGAUCAUCAGUAGUUCACGUCUGUUAUGCGUAGGUCAUCCCCCUCUUUAUUCUUGUACUCGUAAGUUAGCCACCUUAUAUACUGCUUAGUCGCUUGCUGCAGCCUCGCCACUUAACCAUACCUCACCUAAUAAGCUUUUCUAGUCUUGAUACCUUUGGAAAUGAGAUUGCUGAGUCCCAUGUGGCUCACAGAUUACUACAACACCAGUUGCAGGUACAUGUAAAGGUUACUUGACGCGAGCGUGUUGAUUGUUCAUUUGGAGUUGCUUCUUCUUCUUCAUCGAUCUAGGAUGGGUUCCAGGCUGGCAGCCUGGGAUAGAAAGGAUGGACGUCAUUCUUUUCUCGUUUGUUUUCGUGAGUAGUCGGACCCUGCUCUUCUUCAUGAUGUUUAUGUAUUGUACUGAUGUGACUCUGAUGUAGCUUGUGGCGAGUGUAAGCCAAUUCCAUAUACUCUUCUCUUCAGUACAUGUACUUGUAAUGAUAUCCAUUCUUGCGAAACUACUAGAUGCCCUCCUAUCCCUGACGAGGCCCUCGUGCCAAAUUGAGGAUAUGAUCGCAUCUUCGGCGUUACAAGUUGGUAUCAGAGUAGUACCGACCUAGGAGCCCCCUUGAUUGAUCGAACUUGGCCGAGUCGAGUCUAGUGAAAACUGUUUUGAGUCUAGUUAUAUAUCAGAGAGUAUGAUUCUUUUUUCUCCUCUUCUAUGCUCUGGUGAGGAAUCUUGACGUAAUAUUUUAAUUCUACUCCUCUUCUCACUCAAUUUUUUUUAGGAUCACGCGGAUAUUUUUGGAAUCUAUAUGAUUUCGAUGUGACAGAGUUCUGUCUUGGUGCCUCCUGUCUGACUUGAUUUCUUCCGGGGAGUUGAGCUCCACGGGAUUCUCGAGCACAUCAUUAUCAUUCAGAUUUCUUAAUAUCUCAGGACGAAGGAUGUUCGAAAUUGCUUCAAUACUAGUAGUGGCGAGAGGAGUCCGGCUUCCCCAGUACUGAUGCAGAGAGUUCUGGAUGUAUUGCCAUACUUUGUAUCGUUGUGAUUACGAGUGUCUGAGAUAGAUGAAGUUCUGAGAUUCUGGUUAUGAUUUGACGGAUGUGAUACACUGGACGGGUUAGUAUAGGAGUUGAGUGAUAUAUUACUCCUUGUAUCCGUGGACCAGAUUACAUGACUUGAAAUUUUGGGAGUUCUUAGGUUGGCUUUCAAGUAGUUGCUUAUAGGACAAUCUUCCAACAAAUGCAUGAUGUUAGGUUGGGGUUCGACAUCUAGUGGAUUCGUUUGUUCACGUUCGACUUACAGCGGUUCUCGUUGUGUCUUAAAGAGUCCUUGUAGCUUGCUACGACUCGGGGACGCUUCGUAUGUCGUGUGCACUGCCUUGCACAGAAUGGCUACUGUAAGGAUCGAGCCCGUGCGAUCCUGUCCACGAAAAUUUCGAGCGAAAUCUCUCUCAUGAAUUCGUUUUGGCUUGUUUCGUAAGCCUCACCAUUUUGUUUUGUUGGCAUAUGGUAAUUCGAGUUGCUUCGGUGUCAAAUGGUGAUUUCAUAUCUUUUUUCUAAGACAUGUUCUCAUAUUCUUAUGAGAAUGCAAAUUCUUUUCCUCAGUCAAGUUGUCUUAUCAAUUCUUGUCAACCGGAGUCGUUAUAUCAAUUCUUUUCCAACCAAUGUGCUUCUCUUCAGUGAAUUCAAUCCUCUCCAAUAUUUGCAAGAUCAAUCUCUCUUUUAUUUCCGGAGUUGUCUCAUCUGUCUCAAGUUGUCUUUGUUUUCCCCGCCCUCCCACCCUUUUUUUUCAAUGAGUUAAUUGUCAUUCAAGAGUUUUUUCUUUUCAUUGUUUCUUCCGCUAUCUUUUCUUCCGUGUCCUAUCUGGUGAUUCAUAGUGAAGAUUCUCAGGAGCUUCGUGUUCAUAUUUCUUCAGUCUUGCUAUCUUUUCUAGUGAAUUCAGUUCAAGCUAUCCGUGUUCCUCAUAUCCUUUCAUCCUUUAAAUUCUUUCCUGUGUGGAAAAUUCUUAUCAAGUCUUUUUGUUAUCAUUUCUCUCUAUUCUAUCCGGAAUGUUGAAGUUACCUCAGAAGUUUCUUGCCUUCAAUUCUUUUAAUUAUUUCGAGGCACUAACCUCACCAAGUUUUCUUUUUACCGGUGCAAUAUCUCUCUUCUAAGCAAUCUUUUCAAUGGUGGUUUCUUUUGAGUGGGCCCAUAACCCACAGGUUCUUUCCCAGGAUCUUAUCUGGCUCUUGUUAUCUUUCCGGAGUUCUCUUAUUCUUUUUAAGUGUGAUGUAAGAAUGGUUUUCAUCAGUCAUAUUCCUUCUUCAAGAUUGCUUCAAAUUUAUUUUUGUCAUUGGCUCAACUUUUCCUUGUAUUUAUUCCGGAGUGUCUCAUUAAUUCUCGGUGGUGUUCUCCUCAUCAUUUUCAGCUUGGAAGACCGAAGGGGUGUUUCUCUCAAAUCUUGGUUCAGUCUCUUGCAGUUUGUAAUAUCAGCUUUGUGUUAUCUUCUCAAUUGUUGUCAAUUAUGAGUAUCCCUUUCUUGCUAUCCGGUGCUUUUUUGAGUUGUUUCGUUUAUCGGUCCUCUGAAGGCUGUCAUUUCAGAAGAUUCUUCGUUCUCAGCUUUCAGCUUUCAUCCUCAAUUCUUCUCAAUUGUUGUCUCUUCGUUCGUCUCUCAAUUAUUUGGGUGCCUUGUUCAGUUUUCUCUCAGGUGGCUCAUGAUCUCUUCAUUCUCAUGUAUCUCCAUUCAUUCUUGUCAUAUCCCCAUUCAAUCCAAUUCUUACCGGUGUCUCCUUCAAGACUCAUCAAGUUUGUGCUCAUAUAUCUUCUCAAUCAUUUGUAAAAGAAUAAGUCGUACGCUGAAUCCGUUGCUUGUCAUCAAUUAAACUUUAUGAAGGAUAAGCAUAACAUAAUUAUUAUUCGUGUUUCAUAGUGAUUUCAAUUAUUCUGCCGGAGUGGCUCAUGAUAUCAAUUCUUUGUCUCAAGGUGUUCUUCAAGAUUCUUGUGGUAGUAGUUCUCAUUUUGUUCUUCGUUCCCUCUUUCCAAGAUCUAGUUUAUAUUCUCUUGUUCCAGAGUUGUGGUGAUGUUGCUCAUUUGGGUCAAUCAUGUUGCUCUAUAAAGAUCAUGGUGUUCCCUCGUUCUAUUUAGUUGUUUGUCGUGAAUCUUGUCUAGUUCUCCCAUCUUAUCGAAUUUUUGUCCCUUUUCCUACCGAAGUGCUGCCGAAAUUUUAUGUGAAUUCUUGCUUUUUCCUCAUAUCAUUCCUCAUCUCUUUGUAACCUUCAAGGAUCGUUGGUUUCACUUGUUUGUCAAAGAAGCAACUAAGUUUUACCUCUUGCGUUCUCAUCCUCUCCCCCUUUCAUUCUUGGAUCUCGGGUCGAGAUCCUCUUGUAGUGUAGGAGAGUUGUGACAGCCCAAGACCGACGUUCCAGAAGAUUCCCCCUUAUCUACGUUUUCGUCGGGUGGCUUAUUUUAUUUGUCGCAUCAUCAUCGCAUCAUCCGCAUUGCAUCGGCAUCCCGUUGCCGCCAGUUUUCAAAACUUGCAUCCGUUGUUAGUUGCCGGUUCGCGUCGUUGUUCAUUCUGAGCCCGACCACACUCGUACGCGCCCGCGACAUCGUUCAAAUCUUGUUUUUAAAGUGUGUAUAAAACUUUCUCUGAUUAUGUUGAAACUUGGCAUGCGGUCUUAAUAUAUUAUAGGUAGGCCGCGUGCCAAUUUUCGUCGCAAUCGGAGUCCGUCUGGUACCCGAACAGUCGAACGUAUUUGGUCUAUCGUCGGACGUUUUAUCGGUGUUUUAAAAUACGUUGUCGGGUACCCAUUUUCCCUCUUAUCCCCACCUAGCCUACUCUACACAGCUAACCCUAACCCGCCUCUCCGAUCGGACCGUACGAUCGCGAUCGGAGGGUCGAAAAACCCCCNNNNNNNNNNNNNNNNNNNNNNNNNNNNNNNNNNNNNNNNNNNNNNNNNNNNNNNNNNNNNNNNNNNNNNNNNNNNNNNNNNNNNNNNNNNNNNNNNNNNNNNNNNNNNNNNNNNNNNNNNNNNNNNNNNNNNNNNNNNNNNNNNNNNNNNNNNNNNNNNNNNNNNNNNNNNNNNNNNNNNNNNNNNNNNNNNNNNNNNNNNNNNNNNNNNNNNNNNNNNNNNNNNNNNNNNNNNNNNNNNNNNNNNNNNNNNCGGCCUGCUCCAGCCAGCGACCAGGCCGGCCUCCACAGCGCCUCCAGCGGCCCAUCCGCAGCGCCCCGACCGGCCCAGCAAGCCGGCCUCCUCCCCAAGCCCCCGCCGAACCAGGCCGACCCAUGGUGAGCAGCUUCACCCCGAGCCCCUGUAUAUGUCGCCCUGGGCGUCUGAUAGGUGUCUUGCGCCAUAGAUUCGGCCCGUUAGUGAUUUGUUUUAGGUUUUAGGAUUUAAUUAUUUUUCACGAAUAUAUAGAUAUUUCAACGCCCGUAAUUAUUUAACCGUCUAUCAGAUCGCGAAGAUUUAUAUAUGUAACUUGUGUAGUUUUCCACGUAGAUUAAUAAUUUGGAAUUUGCAUGCAUGUUUGAAUUAGUUUCACCCGCUGAAUGCCUAGAAACGCGUGCUGUCCUAUUAUGUUUUUGUCCCGUAUUUAUUUUCAUGCGUGUUCGAAUUGCUCAAACUCCGUAGGUAAAAUGCUCAUGUUUUAGGAACCCUUUUGCCAUGUAUUUUAGAGUAGUUGUUUGUAUUUUAGCAUACAAGAUUCCGUCGCUAGUUUAUUAUAACGUGCUUAGGACAUAUUCGCGCAUAUACGUGUGGCGUUGUUUUUAUUUUGCAACCCCACAUGUUAUAUAUGUUUUCAGGGUAGAAAAAUCCAUAGAAUUUAACUGUGCAUUUAGUUUUAGCUUUUGCGUAAGUCAGUGUGCGUGAUAUUUUGCCAUGUUGCCCUUUUGUUUAUUUUGUGGGAUUUAAUCCGUCCUUGAUAUGAAGGAGUUGUCAACUAGAGAUAUGCCCUUGGAUGUGUAGGCUAGCCCCUGGUAAUUUUGGUUUUAAUAGAAAUCCAUGUUUAGGUGUGGUUUGCUUGUUUUCAACUUGCUAGGAAAUAGUGCUGAUUUGGAGAUGCUGAAAUAUUUCUAAGUAUGAAUCUGUUAUAUUUUGUUGUUGUCUUGUCAUGAGUUUAUCUGGUGAUCUAUAGCUCUUUUGAGCUUGGUGCAAUGGAGUUAGUUGUAGACUUUAGGAUUCUCUAGCAUGCUGUCAAUUUUCAUGCCAUUUGGAGUCCUGUAGCUUAUGGUUUUGCUUCUGUCAAUAUGCCUUCAGAUCGAAAACUGCACUUUCAUAAACUAUGGUUUUCACUAAGUCUGAAACAGUGUGUGAGAUGCCAUUUUGUGACUUCUUUUCCUUGUGAUCCAUGCUUCCGUGCUAGGUGUUAUUAGUUGUAUGUUGUAGUGCUUCUUGCCCUCUAUUGUCUCAUGCCUUGUCUGAGAAAUUUCGAUUUGUGUAGCUCGUAGUUGUGGGGUGUAGAAAAUGCUAUGUGGCUGAUUUUGGCAGAUUGUAGUGUUUUCUUGUUUAGCUCGUAGUUGUUGAACCUUUGCUCUGUUUUGAUCAUGUCCUAUAUGAAACUUGCUUAGAAUCUCGUGUAGUUUCAUUUUAUCUUGCUGGUUGUAUGUCGUCAUAUCUUGCGGUGUUCGUAUCUUUUGAACCGUAGCUCCGUUGGAGAUGUUCUAUAUGUGAAAAUUUCUUGUAACGACGCGUAGAAUCACGGGAAUCUAUUUGUUUUGCUGUUUAACAAACAUUUAAAAGUGUUAGUUCAGAUCUGGACAGAAUUACAAAUUAACGUAUGUGGUCAUCUCGGAGGUGCUAUAUGUCAUUUCCGACCUCAUUUAAAAUGCCUAGAUAGGUAGUUUAAUUACGCUUCACCUCUUGCCAUGUUUAACGACAUUUAAUAUUGCCGUGUACCUAAUCGGGAUAGAACUUAAUAAUCCGUAUGUGGAGUUUCGUCAAUAUGCAACUCGUUGCAUAUUGAACUUCUCUUAAUGUGUAGUGUUGAUUGUUGUGAAUUGUCAAGCCAUGUCUUGCAUAUAUUCAGCUGUUCAUGCAUCAUAUGUGUUGUGCGUCGUGUGGUGGAUAUUGUGUGUUGAUUCUUGUUUCCGGUUUCCUUCGUCUCGAUAGAGUUCCGCAAGCGUGUCAGAAAGUGAGGACCCGUUCGACUACGUCGGUUCGUCUGCUUCACGGAGUCGUUCUUCUUCCAAGCGGGAUCUCAGGCAAGAUGACCAUUUCCCCAAAUACCAUUACUAUCAUUGCCAUGCUAGUAUUAUCGUUUCUGUCUCUAUGUCUCGUUGCCUACCACCUGUUAAAUAUUAGCCUCUCAACAUUGCCAUGAAAACAUUCAACCUGUUCACAACCUAGCAAACCACUGAUUGGCUAUGUUACCACUUGCUUAACCAUGAGUUAGCGUUGCUAGUUGCAGGUGCAGUUGCUUCCAUGUGAUAACAUGGGUUCUUUGUUAUAUCACCCUAUUAAAUGAUAUUUAAUUUAAUGCACAUAUAUACUUGGUAAAAGGUGGAAGGCUCGGCCUUUCUAGCCUAGUGUUUUGUUCCACCUUUGCCCCCUUAGUUUUGGCUACCAGUGUUAUGUUCCAUAAUUGAGCCGUCCUAACAUGAUCGGGGUUGUUAUGGGGACCCCCUUGAUAAUUCGUUUUAGAUUAAUGUUGGUCUGGAAAGGCCCAACAUUGGUACUAUAUUUGCCCAACAUAAUAAUUCUGUUAUUAUUGAAAUGCAUAGGGAGUUAGCGCUACCCGAGGAGUAAUUCAACAUAAUACAGGGGGGCCAGUGCUGUUGCUGCUGGUCCAAAAAUAGAUCCACUUGCGAGGCCACCCGAGGCAACUUGGGGGAUGUCUAUCCGGCCACCGUACAUAGUGCUUGAUACUGCGACAACAGUCCUUGCCUGGCAACGGUGCCAGGAAUCGUGCUGCUAUGGGCUACGCCUAUAGGGACUUCCUUGGCAAAUAUGCAAAGGAUUUCCCCGCGGCCUUGGAGCCUUGCGUUGGUGUUCCCUUGAAGAGGAAAGGGUGAUGUAGCACAGCGGCGGUAAGUAUUUCCCUCAGUUUGAGAACCAAGGUAUCGAUCCAGUGGGAGGAUCGCGUCAAGUCACAAGUAUGUGCACAAACACAAAGACCUUGCGCCCAACGCUAUGAAGGGGUUGUCAAUCCCUUAUAGAUUUGUUUACAAAGUGAGAACUGAAAGCAAAAAGGAAAACAAAGCAAAGUAAAAGUGAAAGUGGAGACGAUAGUUGUGAAUAGACCUUGGGGCCGUAGUGUUCACUAGUGGCUUCUCUCAUGAAAGCAAGUACACAGUGGGUGAAUGAAUUACUGUCGAGCAAUUGAUAGAACCUCGCAAAGUCAUGACGUUAUCUAUGGCAAUGAUUAUAUCUAUAGGCAUCAAGUCCAAAACAAGUAGACCGAUACUUUCUGCAUCUACUACUAUUACUCCACACGUCGACCGCUAUCCAGCAUGCAUCUAUUGUAUUAAGUUCAUAAGAACAGAGUAACGCCUUAAGCAAGAUGACAUGAUGUAGAUGGACAAUCUCAAAUCUAUGAUGAAAGCCCAUCUUGUUACCCUUGAUGGCAACAACACGAUGCGUGCCUUGCUGCCCCUUCUGUCACUGGGAAAGGUCACCGCACGGUAUGAUCCCAAAACCAAGCACUUCUCCCAUUGCAAGAAUCAUAGAUCUAGUUGGCCAAACAAAACCCAAGACUCGGAGAGACUUACAAGGAUAUCAAAUCAUGCAUAUAAGAAAUCAGCAAAGACUCAAAUAUAAUUCAUAGAUAAUCUGAUCACAAAUCCACAAUUCAUCGGAUCUCGACAAGCACACCGCCAAAGAGGAUUACAUCGGAUAGAUCUCCAUGAAGAUCAUGGAGAACUUUGUAUUGAAGAUCCAAGAGAGAGAAGAAGCCAUCUAGCUACUAACUACAGACCCGUAGGUCUGAAGUGGACUACUCACGAGUCAUUGGAGAGGCGAUGAUGUUGAUUUAGAAGCCCUCCAACUCCGAAGUCCCAUCCCGCAGGGUACCGGGAAGGGUCUCCAGAUGAUAUCUCACGGAAACGGGAACUUGCGGCGACGGAAAAGUGUUUUCGUGGAUGCCCUGAUUUUUUCUGGGAUUUUAGGGAAUAUAUAGGCGAAAGAGCUAGGGCAGGGGAGCUCCAGGGGGGCCGCAAGCCUGGUAGCCUCCGCCCCCCCUGGGGGUGGCUACAGGGCUUGUGGGCCCCCCGUGGCUCUCCUGCCUUGGCCCUCAAGUCCCCCGAUCUUCUUCUGUUCUAGAAAAAUUUAUUUCAGGGAUUUUAUUCCGUUUGGACUCCGUUCCAAAAUCAGAUCUGAAAAGAGUCAAAAACACAAAAAAACAGGAGCUGGCACUUGGCACUGAAUUAAUAAGUUAGUCCCCCAAAAGAUAUAAAAGGUAUAUAAAACAUCCAAAGUUGACAAGAUAACAUCAUGAAACCAUAAAAAAUUAUAGAUACAUUUGAGACGUAUCAAGCAUCCCCGAGCUUAACUCCUGCCCGUCCUCGUGUAGGGAAGUGAUAAAUAAUGGUUUUUUGAUGCUUUCAUGCUACCUAGCAUAGAUGUCCAUUGUAACUCCUCUUAUGUGACAUGAAUGUUCAGAUCCAUUAGAUUCAAAACAAUAGUUUGCUAUUGGUGUGGAGACAAUAGUACUUCAAGCAAACUAGCAAGGUAAUCACGAACUUUCAAAAUAACAAGGCCAAAAGAAAGUUAUCCCUACAAAAUCAUAUAGUCUGGCUAUGCUCUAUCAUGCUUGCACAACGAAUUUAAAUCAUGCACAACCUCGGUAUUGGCCAAGUAAUUGUUUUCACACUUUUAAUUUCUCAAACCUUUUCAACUCUCACGCAAUACAUGAGCGUGAGCCAUGGUUUUAGCACUAUAAGUGGAAUGGAGUGUGGUGGAGGUUGCAAGACAAACAAGGAGAAGAUGGUCACAUUAACUAGGCACAUCAAUGAGCUAUGGAGAUGCUCAUCAAUAGAUAUCAAUGUGAAUGAGUAGGGAUUGCCAUAUAAAUGAUGCACUAGAGCUAAGAGUAUGUGAAAGCUCUUAAAGAAAACUAGUGGGUGUGCAUCCAACUUGCUUGCACACGAAGACCUAAGGCAAUUUUGAGGAAGCCUAUCAUUGGAAUAUACAAGCCAAGUUAUAUAAUGAAAAUUUCCCACUAGCUAUAUGGUGGUGAAAAAACGAGAGACUCUCAAUCAUGAAGAUCAUGGUGCUUAAUAAGCACAAGUGUGGAAGGAUAGUAGCAUUGUCCCUUCUCUCUUUUUCUCUCAUUAUUUUNNNNNNNNNNNNNNNNNNNNUAUAUAUAUUUUUUUUGGUGGGCAUCUUUGGCCUAUUUUUGUAAAUGGGCUUCGCUGGCCUCUUUUAUUUCCUCACAUGGGACAAUGCUCCAUCAAUGAUGAUCAUCACACUUUCAACUCAAAACUUAGAGCAAUGAUGACUCUAUAUGGAAUGCCUUCGGUAGUGUACCGUGACAAUGAUCUAGCAUGGCAUAGACAUCAAUGGAAACAUCAUGCUAGCUAUCUUACGAUCAUGCAAUGGCAAUGUAGAAGUGGUGGCACAUGUCAUGGUGGUAGUUGCAUGGCAAUAUAUCUCGGAAUAGCUUUGAAAAAGCCAUAGUAGGUAGGUAUGGUGGCCGUUUUGAGGGAGGCUAAUGGUGGGUUUAUGCACGGGCGAAAGUUGCACGACACUAAAGAAGAUAAUGAUGGUGGAAGGUGAAAGUGCAUCUAAACCAUGGACUCAACAUUAGUCAUGAAGAACUCAUAUACUUGUUGCAAAAGUUUUAGUAGUAAUUGAAAUAAAGAAUUCAAGGCAUACUCCUAGGGGAAGGGUUGGUAGGUAUAAACCAUCGCGCGAUCCCGACCAGUACACAAAGGAUGACAAUCAAUAAACUAAUCAUGCUCAGACUUCAUCACAUAACGGUUCACCAUACGUGCAUGCUAUGGGAAUCACUAACUUUAACACAAUUAUUUCUAGAUCCAUAACACCAUACUAACAUAACUUAAAUAUUACCACAACCACAUCUCAAAACUAAUUGAGAGGAAUCAAACUUCUCUAACUAUUCAAUGCACAUGAAGAUGGAAGUUUUCAUAUCCCUUUGGAUAACUACCCCUUUUGAGACUACUAUCAUAGUAUAGAUCAACUACCAAGCCACGCGCUUCCAUGCUCUAAAAGAUAUAAGUGAAGCACAUAGAGAAAAAUCAACUAGCUCAAAAGAUAUAAGUGAAGCACAUGUGAGCUGAAUUGUCUAACCAAAGGAUAUAAGUGAAGCUCGACAAAAUCACGGUGAGUGCAUGUCUCUCUCUCUAGGUGUGCAGAAAGGAAGAUUGUGACACAACAAAAAUAAAAGACUCCUACAAUACAAGAUGCUCCAAGCAAAACACAUAACAUGUGGUGAAUAAAAAUAUAGCCCCAAGUAACAUUACCGAUGGAUUGAAGACGAAAGAGGGGAUGUCUUCCCGGGGCAUCCCCAAGCUUAGGCUUUUACGGCAUCCUGGAAUCAACUUGGGGUGCCUUGGUAAUCCCAAAGCUUGAGCUCUUACCACUCUUUAUCUCUUUGUCCAUAAGAACUUCACCCAAAACUUGAAAACUUCACAACACGAAACUUAAACAGAAACUCGUGAUAUCAUUAGUUUAAGAAAGCAAACCACCACUUCCUUAGGUACUGUAUUAAACUUAAAUUAUACUUAUGUUGAUGUUGGGUUACUGUAUUUUCAGUCUUCCAUGGCUAAUGCCCCCCGAUACUAUCCAUACUUUCGUCAAAAUAAUCAACCAACUCAACAAAAAACAGAAUCUGUUAACAGCAGACCAGUCUGUAGCAAUCUGUAUACUUCGUAUACUUCUGUUACUUCAAAAAUUCUGAAAAAUUAUGACAAUAUGAAGAAUUUGCAUAGCAGUCGUCAUAAAAAAGAAUCAACCCAAAAGAUGUUACAGAAAAAAAUGAAAAUUCUUUUCGUGAGCAGAAAGUUUCUGUAUUUUCCAGCAUGACCAAACGGUCAUCCCCAAGACUAAUCAUAAUGGUUUUACUUGGCACAUACGCAAAAAGAAACACAAAAAACACAAUCAUAACAGAAUUAUGAAAGUGUGGAAAACACAAAACAGAAAAAAAGGAUAGAUUCGUUGGGUUGCCUCCCAACAAGCACUAUUGUUUAACGCCCUUAGCUAGGCAUAAGGUGAUGGAAUCACGUAUAGUCAUCUUUGGUGCUCAAACCACAAGUAGCGUGAUCAUUUAUCGUCUUAAGAUCUUCAUCUUUAUUGGAUGACUCACCACUAGCUUUAGUAACAAAAACAGACUUGAUGGUCUUUUUGAGAGUGAGAUUUGGAGUAUUUUGCACAAUGGCAAAAGCGGAACCCAAGUUGGUUAUGACAUCUUCCAGUUUGCCAAUUCUAGAGGAAUCAUUAACUAUUGGUUCCUUCUCCCUUAAUUUUUUCAAAACCAUUCCCACUUUGGAUCCGUACUGAGUAAUUUGAUUGUGGAUCUUUCUAUCCAAACCCUCAAUAAGUUCAAUUGUGGCAAUUUUGUUUUCAAUAGCAUCAAGCCUUUGCAUCACGUGUUCCAAGGUCAAGGUAGUUCCAUUAACCAUGAGCGGGGGUGAGCCUACCAAAUUCAUGAUAGCUCCAUAAGAGUCAACAGUAUGGCUCCCCAAAAAAUUCCCGCCUACGAUGGUAUCAAGAAUAUACCUAUUCCAAGGAGAGAUUCCAACAUAAAAACUGCGAAGAAGAACGGUAGUGGAUUGCUUACGAAUAGAUCUACUGUGAGCAUUGCAAAUCCUAUACUAAGCGUCCUUUAAAUUUUCUUCCUCAUUCUGCUUGAAAUUGAGAACUUGGUCCUCAGGGGUAUCGUUUGGAGUGGUGGGUCUAGCCAUUGAAGGACUAUCCCACACACAAACGAGCAUGAAGAAAGUGAGUGAAACGGGCAAAAGAGUACGGCAAAAGGCAAAAGAAAACGGCAAAGGAAAACGACAAAAAGGCAAAUGAAAAUGGCAAGGGAGAAAGGCAAAUAAAAACGGCAAAGGAGGAAAGCAAAUGAAAACGGCAAAUGUGAAGUGGGGGAGAGGAAAACGAGAGGCAACUGGCAAAAAAGGUAAAUGCAAGAGAUGAGUUUGUGACACCUACUUCGAUAGAUCUUGACUUGAUCUCUCCUCCCCGGCAAGGGCGCCACAAAUAGGCGUGUUGACGGGAGAUUAUUCUUGUAUUGAUACUCCUCGACAAGCGAUCCUCCUCCCCGGCAACGGCACCAAAAAUCCUUCUGCUACUGCAACAACAGACCUUCCCUGGUAACUGCGCCAGGAAUCCUGCUGCUACGGGCUACGCCUAUAGGGACUUCCUUGGCAAAUAUGCAAAUGAUUUCCCCGCGGCCUUGGAGCCUUGUGUUGGUGUUCCCUUGAAGAGGAAAGGGUGAUGUAGCACAGCGGCGGUAAGUAUUUCCCUCAGUUUGAGAACCAAGGUAUCGAUCCAGUGGGAGGAUCGCGUCAAGUCACAAGUACCUGCACAAACACAAAGAGCUUGCACCCAACGCUAUGAAGGGGUUGUCAAUCCCUUAUAGAUUUGUUUGCAAAGUGAGAACUGAAAGAAAAAGGAAAACAAAGCAAAGUAAAAGUGAAAGUGGAGACGAUAGUUGUGAAUAGACCCAGGGCCGUAGUGUUCACUUGUGGCUUCUCUCAUGAAAGCAAGUCGACGGUGGGUGAACGAAUUACUGUCGAGCAAUUGAUAGAACCGCGCAAAGUCGUGACGUUAUCUAUGGCAAUGAUUAUAUCUAUAGGCAUCACGUCCAAAACAAGUAGACCGAUACUUUUUGCAUCUACUACUAUUACUCCACACGUCGACUGCUAUCCAGCAUGCAUCUAGUGUAUUAAGUUCAUAAGAACAGAGUAACGCCUUAAGCAAGAUGACAUGAUGUAGAUGGACAAUCUCAAAUCUAUGAUGAAAGCCCAUCUAGUUACCCUUGAUGGCAACAACAUGAUGCGUGCCUUGCUGUCCCUUCUGUCACUGGAAAAGGUCAUCGCACGGUAUGAACCCAAAACCAAGCACUUCUCCCAUUGCAAGAAUCAUAGAUCUAGUUGGCCAAACAAAACCCAAGACUCGGAGAGACUUACAAGGAUAUAAAAUCAUGCAUAUAAGAAAUCAGCAAAGACUCAAAUAUAAUUCAUAGAUAAUCUGAUCACAAAUCCAGAAUUCAUUGGAUCUCGACAAACACACCGCCAAAGAGGAUUACAUCGGAUAGAUCUCCAUGAAGAUCAUGGAGAACUUUGUAUUGAAGAUGAAAGAGAGAGAAGAAGCCAUCUAGCUACUAACUACGGAUCCGUAGGUCUGAAGUGGACUACUCACGAGUCAUUGGAGAGGCGAUGAUGUUGAUGUAGAAGCCCUCCAACUCCAAAGUCCCCUCCGGCAGGGCACCGGGAAGGGUCACAGAUGAGAUCUCGCGGAAACGGAAGCUUGCGGCACCGGGGAAGUGUUUUCGUGGAUGCCCUGAUUUUUUCUGGGAUUUUAGGGAAUAUAUAGGCGAAAGAGCUAGGGCAGGGGAGCUCCAGGGGGGGCCACAAGCCUGGUAGCCGCUGGCCCCCUUGGUGGUGGCUACAGGGCUUGUCGGCCCCAUGUGGCUCUCUUGCCUUGGCCCUCAAGUCCCCCGAUCUUCUUCUGUUCUAGAAAAAUUUAUUUCGGGGAUUUUAUUCCGUUUGGACUCCGUUCCAAAAUCAAAUAUGAAAAGAGUAAAAAACACAGAAAAAAUAGGAACUGGCACUUGGCACUGAAUUAAUAAGUUAGUCCCAAAAAAGAUAUAAAAGGUAUAUAAAACAUCCAAAGUUGACAAGAUAACAACAUGAAACCAUCAAAAAUUAUAGAUACGUUUGAGACGUAUCAGUGCUCAUCUGUCGUGUCCUGAGAACGAUAUACGCAUCUCCUAUCGGGGUCGUCGACACGCCAAGCGGCCUUGCUGGAUUAGUUUUACCUUUGACGAAUGUCUUGUGCAUCGGGAUUCCAGUGAUGCUUUGGGUAAUCUCAGAGUCGAGGUUUUCCACUAAGGAGUCUGACGAGAUCGCGAGCUUCAUGAUCGAGGAUUUCUAUGCGGCUUGUGGUAAUUUGUGAUGGAUUAGUUGGAGCACCCCUGCAGGGUUAAAUCUUUCGGAAAGCCAUCCCGCGGUUAUGUGGCAACGUGGAAACUUUUUUUAACACUCGUUCUAGAUAACUUUAAGUUAACUUAAUUAAAAUAUGCCAACUGAGUGCGUAACCGUGACUGUCUCUUUCGUGAGUUCCUUCUCCGAUCGAGGACACGGUGGGGUUAUGUCUGACGUAGUAGGUGUUCAGGAUCAUUCAUUUGAUCAUCAGUAGUUCACGUCCGUUAUGCGUAGGUCACCCCCCUCUUUAUUCUUGUACUCGUAAGUUAGCCACCUUAUAUACUCCUUAGUCGCUUGCUGCAGCCUCACCACUUAACCAUACCUCACCUAAUAAGCUUUGCUAGUCUUGAGACCUUUGGAAAUGAGAUUGCUGAGUCCCCUGUGGCUCACAGAUUACUACAACACCAAUUGCAGGUACAUGUAAAGGUUACUUGACGCGAGCGUGUUGAUUGUUCAUUUGGAGUUGCUUCUUCUUCAUCAUCAUCGAUCUAGGAUGGGUUCCAGACCGGUAGCCUGGGAUAGCAAGGAUGGAUGUCGUUCUUUUCUCGUUUGAUUUUGUUUGUAGUCGGACCCUGCUCUUCUUCAUGAUGUUUAUGUAUUGUACUGAUGUGACUCUGAUGUAGCUCGUGGUGUAAGCCAAUUCCAUAUACUCUUCUCUUCGGUACAUGUACUUGUAACGAUAUCCAUUCUUGCGAAACGACGAGAUGCGCUUCUAUCCGUGACGAGGCCCUCGUGCCCAAUUGAGGAUAGGAUUGCAUCUUUGGCGUUACAGUACUCGUGUCCAGAAUUGAGGUGAUUUAGAUGUGCGGACUCCAUCGUAGGGACUACCUUGAAAGAAUUUAUGUUUUGUGCUGUAGUUGAAUAAAGGACCAUUAGCACCUUCUCCAACAAAGAACAAAUGCAAUUCUCCGUGAGGGCUUGGAUAGUUGAUUUGUUCCUUGGGAGACAGAAACCAUCACCAUAGACAACUAAAUCGGGAUGACGAGCAGAAACGGUUUUCCUUUUGGAGGGACCAGCCCUAGAAUUAUGUGUGGUGGUAUUGAUAGUCAGCUUGAGAUGUGAAAAAAAUUUCGCAAUAGAGAGUGGUUCAUCAGUCACAUUGGUUUGUCAAAUAGUUUCAUCUUCUUAGUUGUUGUGAGGUGGUGGAGCAGAAUUAUUUGCAUUUGUUGGGUCUGGGUCAUGCUUAGGAAUGUGAAAAUCUUGCUCGAGAUGAGAGCAAUUUUUCUGCCGGAUCUUGCUCAGAGUUGUUUGGUAGAAUGACUUUCUCGGCCACAUGGGGAUCGAAGAUAGUUGAAGUACCUUGGGUGUUUGGAGGAGGAGUAUUAGGCUCGGAGCGAUGAAUUUUAAUUUCUUCUGAAGCAGAGUGCGUUGAAGAUAAAUCAACUCGAGUAGGAGACGAUGUAUGCACUACUUCAGUUGGCAUUGGUGCUGGUAUCAAAACCGGCGGAUCUCGGGUAGGGGUCUCGGACUAUGGACCUUGGAUUGAUGGGUUGUAGGAGAAGAAGGAGACAAUGUUUACCCAGGUUCGGGCCCUCUUGAGGAGGUAAAACCCUACGCCCUGCUUGAUUAUAUUUAUGGAGUAUGAGGAUUACAGAGUUGAUCUACCGCGAGAUCGUAUGAGCUGAACCCUAGAUGAAUAAACUUGUCUAUGCGGAUGAAACCCUUUGGUUUAUGUAGACACCAGGGGUCCCUGGGGUUACAUAGAACCGGCCUCCACCUAGGGAUAGAUGCGCUGAUCUAGCCUAGUAAACUUGGACGACACGCCAGUCUUCUGAGUUUCCCUUCCUGAACACGAAGUCGCCGUGCAGUCCGGUCUUCAAUAAUAUGGCCCAUAUGGUCGGCUUCUAAAAGAUGGGCCGACCACUCUAGGAAACCUUAAUCCAGGACUCCCUCAGUGGCCCCCGAACAUGCAUCCAAUGCCGAUGUACACGGUCUUCGGCAGCUUCUCUCAUUCAAAGUGACCGGCUUGCGAGGCGAGUUCCCCCCUUAUUCGGCUGGUUCAGACUUGGUCAUCUGGCAAUGUUUAUGCGUUUAAAACAGGCACUGGUUAAUCAGAAGGCCAAAAGGCCCGAGUGUGAAUAGUUCAUCAUUUGACAGCCUUUCUAACGAAAGGUCGCAAUAGUCAGUUAUGACCAAAACUCGAUUCGCGACUCGAUGCCACUUUCCCACGGGCACGUCUUGUCGACGUGGAGACUGUGUCCCGCAUUUAAGAGAAUAUGGGUAAUUGUUUGGGUAAUCCCAUGCGCGUUCACCGGCUCGGUCAUUUUGGAAAGUGGUCGGGCUUGCGGCGCAAUAAACGGGAACCCUUGGCUCAGCACCCCCAUAAAAGGGAAAAAGAUCCAUAGAGCAACCACAUGCAUUCCAGACUCGACCCCCUCCCAUCCUAGCUUCCAAGAGCUCAGAUCCGCUUCGCAUUUCGUCCUCUCCCCUCCGUCCUCCCCCAAAUCCAGCCAUGGCUGCAUCAGGUUCUCACGGCAAGUGGGAGAUCUCAUGCAUCAUUGACAAAGACAUCCAGGAGAUAAAGGAGGCCGGCUAUCUUUCACCGGAUAUCGCUCACCAUGCGCUCGAGGAAGGUCAGAUGGUGCCCACUCCAAGGCCGGGCGGAAGUGUUGGAAUUAUGCCCUAGAGGCAAUGAUAAAUGUAUAGUUAUUAUUAUAAUUCCUGUAUCAAGGUAAUAGUUUAUUAUCCAUGCUAUAAUUGUAUUGAAUGAAGACUCAUUUACAUGUGUGGAUACAUAGACAAAACACCGUCCCUAGCAUGCCUCUAGUUGGCUAGCCAGUUGAUCGAUGAUAGUCAGUGUCUUCUGAUUAUGAACAAGGUGUUGUUGCUUGAUAACUGGAUCACGUCAUUGGGAGAAUCACGUGAUGGACUAGACCCAAACUAAUAGACGUAGCAUGUUGAUCGUGUCAUUUUGUUGCUACUGUUUUCUGCGUGUCAAGUAUUUAUUCCUAUGACCAUGAGAUCAUAUAACUCACUGACACCGGAGGAAUGCUUUGUGUGUAUCAAAUGUCGCAACGUAACUGGGUGACUAUAAAGAUGCUCUACAGGUAGCUCCAAAGGUGUUAGUUGAGUUAGUAUGGAUCAAGACUGGGAUUUGUCACUCCGUGUGACGGAGAGGUAUCUCGGGGCCCACUCGGUAAUACAACAUCACACACAAGCCUUGCAAGCAAUGUAACUUAGUGUAAAGUUGCGGGAUCUUGUAUUACGGAACGAGUAAAGAGACUUGUCGGUAAACGAGAUUGAAAUAGGUAUACGGAUACUGACGAUCGAAUCUCGGGCAAGUAACAUACCGAAGGACAAAGGGAAUGACAUACGGGAUUAUACGAAUCCUUGGCACUGAGGUUCAAACGAUAAAGAUCUUCGUAGAAUAUGUAGGAUCCAAUAUGGGCAUCCAGGUCCCACUAUUGGAUAUUGACCGAGGAGUCUCUCGGGUCAUGUCUACAUAGUUCUCGAACCCGCAGGGUCUGCACACUUAAGGUUCGACGUUGUUUUAUGCGUAUUUGAGUUAUAUGGUUGGUUAUCGAAUGUUGUUCGGAGUCCCGGAUGAGAUCACGGACGUCACGAGGGUUUCCAGAAUGGUCCGGAAAUGAAGAUUGAUAUAUAGGAUGACCUCAUUUGAUUACCGGAAGGUUUUCGGAGUUACCGGGAAUGUACCGGGAAUGACGAAUGGGUUCCGGGAGUUCACCGGGGGGGGGGGCAACCCACCCCGGGGAAGCCCAUAGGCUUUGGGGAGACACACCAGCCCUUAGUGGGCUGGUGGGACAGCCCCAAGGGGGCCUAUGCGCCAAGGAAAGGAAAUCAAAGGAAAAGGAAAAAAAAGAGGGAAGAAGUGGGAAGGGAGGGGGACUCCUCCCACCAAACCAAGUCCAACUCGGUUUGGGGGGGGAGUCCUCCCCCCCUUGGCUCGGCCAACCCCUUGGGAGUCCCUUGGACCCCAAGGCAAGGUCCCCCUCCCUCCUCCUAUAUAUAUGGGGCUUUUAGGGCAAAUCUGAGACGACUUUCUCACGGCUGCCCGACCACAUACCUCCAUAGUUUUUCCUCUAGAUCGCGUUUCUGCGGAGCUCGGGCGGAGCCCUGCUGAGGCGAGAUCAUUACCAACCUCCGGAGCACCGUCACGCUGCCGGAGAACUCUUCUACCUCUCCGUCUCUCUUGCUGGAUCAAGAAGGCCGAGAUCAUCGUCGAGCUGUACGUGUGCUGAACGCGGAGGUGCCGUCCGUUCGGUACUAGAUCGUGGGACUGAUCGCGAGAUUGUUCGCGGGGCGGAUCGAGGGACGUGAGGACGUUCCACUACAUCAACCGCGUUCUCUAACGCUUCUGCUGUACGAUCUACAAGGGUACGUAGAUCACUCAUCCCCUCUCAUAGAUGGACAUCACCAUGAUAGGUCUUCGUGCGCAUAGGAAAUUUUUUGUUUCCCAUGCGACGUUCCCCAACAGUGGCAUCAUGAGCUAGGUUCAUGCGUAGAUGUCUUCUCGAGUAGAACACAAAAGGUUUUGUGGGCGGUGAUGUGCGUUUUGCUGCCCUCCUUAGUCUUUUCUUGAUUCCGCGGUAUUGUUGGAUUGAAGCGGCUUGGACCGACAUUACUCGUACGCUUACGAGAGACUAGUUUCAUCGUUACGAGUAACCCCCUUUGCUCAAAGAUGACUGGCAAGUGACGGUUUCUCCAACUUUAGUUGAAUCGGAUUUGACCGAGGAGGUCCUUGGAUGAGGUUAAAUAGCAACUCAUAGAUCUCCGUUGUGGUGUUUGCGUAAGUAAGAUGCGAUCCUACUAGAUACCCUUGGUCACCACGUAAAACAUGCAACAACAAAAUUAGAGGACGUCUAACUUGUUUUUGCAGGGUAUGAUUGUGAUGUGAUAUGGCCAAUGAUGUUAUGUGAUAUAUUGGAUGUAUGAGAUGAUCAUGUUGUAAUAGAAAUACCGACUUGCACGUCGAUGGUACGGCAACCGAUAGGAGCCAUAGGGUUGUCUUUAUACUAACGUUUGUGCUUGCAGAUGCGUUUACUAUUUUGCUAGGAUGUAGCUUUAGUAGUAAUAGCAUAAGUAGCACAACAACCCCGAUGGCAACACGUUGAUGGAUGAUCAUGGUGUGGCGCCGGUGACAAGAAGAUCGUGCCGGUGCUUUGGUGAUGGAGAUCAAGAAGCACGUGAUGAUGGCCAUAUCAUGUCACUUAUGAAUUGCAUGUGAUGUUAAUCCUUUUAUGCACCUUAUUUUGCUUAGAACGACGGUAGCAUUAUGAGGUGAUCUCUCACUGAAAUUUCAAGACGAAAUUGUGUUCUCCCCGACUGUGCACCGUUGCUACAGUUCGUCGUUUCGAGACACCAUGUGAUGAUCGGGUGUGAUAGACUCAACGUUCACAUACAACGGGUGCAAAACAGUUGCGCACGCGGAACACUCGGGUUAAGCUUGACGAGCCUAGCAUGUGCAGACAUGGCCUCGGAACACAUGAGACCGAAAGGUCGAUCAUGAAUCAUAUAGUUGAUAUGAUUAGCAUAGGGAUGCUUACCACUGAAACUACUCUCGACUCACGUGAUGAUCGGACUUGGGAUAGUGUAAGUGGAUUAUGAACCACUCAAAUGACUAGAGAGAUGUACUUUUUGAGUGGGAGUUUAGCAUAUAAUUUGAUUAAGUUGAACUCUAAUUAUCUUGAACAUAGUCUAAGUCCACUUUGAAUAUAUUUGUGUUGUAGAUCAUGGCUCACGCAAGUGUCAUCCUGAAUUUUAAUACGUUCCUAGAGAAAGCUAAGUUGAAAGAUGAUGGAAGCAACUUUGUAGACUGGGCUGGUAAUCUUAAGCUAAUCUUACAAGCUGGAAAGAAGGAUUAUGUCCUUAAUGCUGCGCUAGGAGAUGAACCACCCGCUACGGCUGAUCAGGAUGUUAAGAACGCUUGGUUAGCGCGUAAGGAGGACUACUCAAUAGUUCAAUGUGCAGUCUUGUAUGGCUUAGAACCGGGACUUCAACGUCGCUUUGAGCGUCAUGGAGCAUUUGAGAUGUUCCAGGAGUUGAAGUUUAUCUUUCAGAAGAACGCCCGGAUCGAUAGGUAUGAGACCUCCGAUAAAUUCUAUGCUUGCAAGAUGGAGGAAAACUCGUCUGUCAGUGAACAUGUGCUCAAAAUGUCUGGGUACUCAAACCGUCUAGCUGAACUGGGGAUUGAACUCCCGCAAGAAGCUAUCACUGACAGAAUCCUUCAAUCACUGCCGCCAAGCUAUAAAGGCUUUGUGUUGAACUACAACAUGCAAGGGAUGAACAAGUCUCCCGGCGAGUUGUUUGCGAUGCUGAAAGUCGCAGAGUCUGAACUCCGUAAAGAGCAUCAAGUGUUGAUGGUGAGCAAGACCACUAGUUUCAAGAGAAACGGCAAAGGCAAGAAGGGCAAUUCGAAGAAGAGCGGCAAGCCUGUUGCCAAUCCACCGAAGAAACCCAAGGCUGGACCUAAGCCUGAAACAGAGUGCCUCUAUUGCAAGGGUAUGGGUCACUGGAAGCGCAAUUGCCCCAAGUAUCUGGCAGAUAAGAAGGCGGGCAAAGAAAAAUCAGGUAUAUUUGAUAUACAUGUUAUUGAUGUGUACUUAACCGGCUCUCGUAGUAGUGCCUGGGUAUUCGAUACCGGUUCUGUUGCUCACAUUUGCAACUCGAAGCAGGAACUGCGGAAUAGACGAAGGCUGGCGAAAGACGAAGUGACGAUGCGCGUAGGAAACGGUUCCAAGGUUGAUGCAAUCGCCGUCAGCACAGUGUCACUUCAACUACCAUUGGGAUUAGUGAUGAACUUAAAUCAUUGUUAUUUAGUGCCUGCGUUGAGCAUGAACAUUAUAUCUGGAUCUUGUUUAUUGCGAGACGGUUACUCUUUUAAGUCUGAGAAUAAUGGUUGUUCUAUUUCUAUGAGUAACAUCUUUUAUGGUCAUGCACCGAAUGUGAGAGGAUUGUUCAUAUUGAAUCUCGAUAGCGAUACGCAUAUACAUAACAUUGAGACCAAAAGAGUUAGAGUAAACAAUGAUAGCGCCAUAUUUUUGUGGCACUGCCGCUUGGGUCAUAUUGGUGUAAAGCGCAUGAAGAAACUCCAUGCUGAUGGACUUUUGGAGUCACUUGACUUUGAUUCACUUGACACGUGCGAACCAUGCCUCAUGGGCAAGAUGACUAAGACUCCGUUCUCCGGAACAAUGGAGCGUGCAAGUGACUUGUUGGAAAUCAUACAUACCGAUGUGUGUGGUCCGAUGAGCGUGGAGGCAUGCGGCGGAUAUCGUUAUUUUCUCACCCUCACUGACGAUUUAAGUAGAUAUGGUUAUGUCUACUUGAUGAAGCACAAGUCUGAAACAUUUGAAAAGUUCAAGCAAUUUUAGAGUGAAGUGGAAAAUCAUCGUAAGAAGAAGAUCAAGUUUCUACGGUCUGAUCGUGGGGGUGAAUAUCUGAGUUUCGAGUUUGGUACUCACUUAAGACAGUGUGGAAUUGUUUCGCAGUUAACACCGCCUGGAACACCACAUCGUAAUGGUGUGUCCGAACGUCGUAAUCGUACUUUGUUAGAGAUGGUGCGAUCUAUGAUGUCUCUUACUGAUUUGCCGUUAUCAUUUUGGGGUUAUGCAUUAGAAACAGCUGCAUUCACUUUAAAUAGGGCACCAUCAAAAUCCGUUAAGACGACACCAUACGAACUGUGGUAUGGCAAAAGACCAAAGUUGUUGUUUCUUAAAGUUUGGGGAUGUGAUGCUUAUGUCAAAAAGCUUCAGCCUGAAAAGCUGGAACCCAAAGCGGAAAAGUGCGUCUUCAUAGGUUACCCAAAAGAGACAGUUGGGUACACCUUCUAUCUCAAAUCCGAGGGCAAAGUGUUUGUUGCUAAAAACAGAACUUUUCUCGAGAAGGAGUUUCUCUCGAGAGAAUUGAGUGGGAGGAAGAUAGAACUUGACGAGGUUGUCGAACCUCUCAUCCCUCUGGAUGGUGGCGCAGGGCAAGGGGAAACCUUUGUCGUUGCGACGCCAGUUGAGGAGGAAGUUAAUGAUGAUGAUCAUGAAACUCCAGUUCAAGUUUCUGUUGAACUACGCAGGUCGACGAGAUCACGCGCUGCUCCAGAGUGGUACGGUAAUCCCGUCUUAUCAAUCAUGUUGUUAGACAACAAUGAACCUGCAAAUUAUGAAGAAGCAAUGGUGGGCCUAGAUUCCAACAAAUGGCUAGAAGCCAUGAAAUCCGAGAUAGGAUCCAUGUAUGAGAACAAAGUGUGGACUUUGGAGAUACUACCUGAGGGCCGCAAGGCUAUUCAGAACAAAUGGAUUUUUAAGAAGAAGACGGACGCUGACGGUAAUGUGACCGUUUAUAAAGCUCGACUUGUGGCAAAGGGUUUUUUCACAAGUUCCAGGAGUUGACUACGAUGAGACCUUCUCACCCGUAGCGAUGCUUAAAUCCGUCAGAAUCAUGUUAGCAAUAGCUGCAUUUUUCGAUUAUGAAAUCUGGCAGAUGGAUGUCAAAACGGCGUUCCUUAACGGUUUCCUUAAGGAAGAGUUGUAUAUGAUGCAACCCGAAGGUUUUGUCGAUCCUGAAAAUGCUGACAAGGUGUGCAAGCUUCAGCGAUCCAUUUAUGGACUGGUGCAAGCAUCUCGGAGUUGGAACAAACGUUUUGAUGAGGUGAUCAAAGCAUUUGGGUUUAUACAAGUGGUUGGAGAAUCUUGUAUUUACAAGAAAGUGAGUGGGAGCUCUGUGGCGUUUCUAAUAUUAUAUGUGGAUGACAUAUUACUGAUUGGAAACAACGUAGAGCUUUUGGAGAGCAUAAAAGGUUACUUGAAUAAAAGUUUCUCUAUGAAGGACCUAGGAGAAGCUGCUUACAUUCUAGGCAUUAAGAUCUAUAGGGAUAGAUCAAAACGCCUGAUAGGACUUUCACAAAGCACAUACCUUGAUAAAGUUUUGAAGAGGUUCAAAAUGGAACAGUCCAAGAAAGGGUUCUUGCCAGUGUUACAAGGUACGAGAUUGAGUAAGACUCAGUGCCCAGCAACUGAUGAAGAUAGAGAGCAUAUGCGCUCCGUCCCCUAUGCUUCAGCCAUAGGUUCUAUCAUGUAUGCGAUGCUGUGCACUAGACCGGAUGUUAGCCUGGCCAUAAGUAUGGCAGGUAGGUUCCAGAGUAAUCCAGGAGUGGAUCACUGGACAGCGGUCAAGAAUAUCCUGAAGUACCUGAAAAGGACUAAGGAGAUGUUUCUCAUGUAUGGAGGUGGCGAAGAGCUCGCCGUAAAAGGUUACGUCGAUGCAAGCUUUGACACAGAUCCGGACGACUCUAAGUCGCAAACCGGAUACGUAUUUAUUCUUAAUGGGGGUGCAGUAAGCUGGUGCAGUUCCAAGCAAAGCGUCGUAGCAGAUUCUACAUGUGAAGCAGAGUACAUGGCUGCCUUGGAG
Molecule: long non-coding RNA, 49847 nt
Filed under: Hordeum vulgare
Lineage: Eukaryota; Viridiplantae; Streptophyta; Magnoliopsida; Poales; Poaceae
Description: long non-coding RNA (HVUL_LNC004538)
Source: RNAcentral